CCCUAUGCAUGUUUAAUUAUUUUUUGAAAGACUAUACGAUGUAUAUUUAGUAUGUACUAAGGAUGAUUAGAGUAAGUUUGACUUAUAGCUCGUGUGUGUGUUAAAAUGAAAGAUGUUUCUGUAGGAAUGAGCUCAUUCGUACCAUGUGUGAUGUGAGACGAUGGUGUGGCAUCCUGAUAUUUUAGCUUAGUGACCGGGUGAAGUAUAGGGUGUUACAGAAUGUAGGUUUCCAAAAAUGGAAAUGGAAAUGGAAGUGAAAAUAGAAACUUGCAAUACUAUAAAGAAUUACUUAAAAAAUGAUAGAAGAAUGAGUUUAUGUUUUAUUUUUUACUAUUUAAAAUCCCGAAAAUAAAAAUAAAUCAUUCUGUAAUAGUGAACAUGUUGAGUUGAGACAUAUUGAAUGAUUUUUUUCAAAAUUUUACCAUGGAUAAAAUCGUUAAAAUUUUACCGAGGGUAAAAUUUUCAAAAUUUUACUGGGUUAAAAUUAGGAUGAGAAAAUUAUUUAAUAUGUAGAUAUUACAGUUUAUUUUGGGAAAUAGAAAAACUAAAUCGGGUUGCCUCAUAUUACAAUCAACUAGUCAAAAAGGCCUAGAAAGUAUUCAUAAUUUGACUCGAUGUAAGAGAGGCCUAAAAACCCCUCAUGGACAUUAGGUGGAGGCAACCCUAGUACAAAUAUUAGGUCAAAUCAUCCACCCUAGUCCUAUUCUAAGUAAGAUAUUUUUCUACCUUCUCUUCCUAUAAAUAGAUGGUAUCGGUAGAGUUAUUUACACAACUUUUAGAGAUAGUUAUUUUGUCAAAAAAUAGAAAGAAUUUAUUCUCAACUGUUACAUAUAUAUUUUCCAGAAUAACAAUUCUACUGGUUUCUAUUAGGAAGAGAGAUCUUUUGUUUUCACCCUAAAAGGAGAGAAAACUUUUUCUAGUUCUUUGUUCCAAUUCAAUCGGUUCGAGCCCACACUUGAAGCAGUUCGUAGUAUAAGAAUAACAGAGAAGAUCGUUUGGUUGAAAGGCAAAAAAAUCAAGUAUCUGCUUAUCCAAAAAUACAGGUACAAAUUCAGUUAAGGUUUUAUUGCUAUAAAUAUCACAAACUGGGUCGGUUUUCAAAAUUUUAAUUUUCCAUUGUAUAAGAAAACCGUUUUCAAAUUGGGUUUUUUCCAACACCACAUACGUCAAUGUGCACAAGUUCUAGGGGCUUUUCGAUCAUCAUUCCUUUUGCAUUAAAAGAUCGCUUAGUCAUCUGACCUUCCAAGCAAGAUUCGAAUUAUGGAAGAUCAACUUCUUUAAGUGAACUUAAGAUGUCGUCUUUCACAAGUCUAGUGAUUCUUUCUCGGUUAAUAUGACCAAGUCUCAAAUGCCAAAGUUACGCCCCAUUAGAGUGAGAUGUUUUAAGUCUUCUAUUUUAUUUUUCAGUCUUAAGCAGUGUGGACAUCUUUGGUUCGAUAAAAUAGAGAUUAUUUGACAUCAAUGCAUUACAGAUAAAAUUGCUAUUUCUAAAUAUUGCAAUUUCAUUAUUAAAAGUCACAGUCAAGUCGUCUUUAUAUAAACAUGCAACAGAAAUUAAGUUUCUUUUGAAACUUGGUACAAAGAAAACGUCUUUUAAAAUAAUCUUUCUAAAAUUAUCAAAAUAAAGAUGUGCAUAUCCCACAAUUUCAGCUACCACACUUGUCUCGUUCUUGGUCUGCAACAAUAAGCUCUUAUCUCUAAGAUAUUUUGUCUCCUUGAACCCCUGUAGAGAAACACAAACAUUAUAUAUGGCUCCCAAAUCAAUGACCUAGUGGUCUAUUGAAUCUUCCACUAAACAAGCUUCUAUCAUAAAGAGUUUCAUACAUUUUCCUUUGGUAAAUAGGUAUUCUUUCCACUCUUUAUAGUUUGCCUUGAAGUGCCCUUUUUUACUACAAAAGAAGCAUUUAGACUUAGAUAAGUCUUUAGGCUUUUUAAUUCUAUUCCUUUCCACUUGUGGUGGCCUAGAGACUUUAGCCUUGCUUUUCUUAGCAUGCUUUCCCUUCUCUUUGAGGAAUAAGAGAUAGCUAUAUUCACUUCUGCUCUUCGGACCCACUAACCGUCGUUCAACAUUAACUCAUAAGAUUGUAACUCCUUCAUAAGUUGUGUAAGCGUCUGGUUUUUAUUGCCAAGGUUAUAUGCGACCCAAAAACUAGUAAAAUCCUUUAACAAGCUUUUGAACACCAUAUCAAUUUGAGUGUUCUGGUCUUGCCUCAUUGUCCGCAGCCUCAACAAAAUAGCCCAUAAGUGUGAUCAUAUGGUUUUUGAUCGGAGUGUUGAGCUUUUUCUAGGCAUUUAUCAAGCUAGUCAUGACAUACUGUCGAACCAAGGUAACUUGGCCUCUAAACAUGUCUUCUAGCUUAUCUAGAAUUUUUUUAUUGGUCUUACAUCUCUUUAGUUGCUUAUGCAAAGUACUGGUCACGCUUGCUAGCAUAUAGCAACAAGCUAUCUCAUCAGACUCUUCCCAGUGUUUUCUAGCCUCAACUUGAGUGGUCGAAGGGCAGCUAGUAUUAAAAACUAUUUUAAGUUUCUCAUAGCUUAGGAGAAUUCUUUGAUUCCUUAUAGUUGUUUCCAUUCAGUUUGUUUUUAGUGAGUAUGUUCAAUAAGGGAGUUGGUGCAAUUUUCAAACUAAAAAUAAAACAUUCAUAUAUUAAUAUCUUUGUAUUAAGCAAAUGUUUGUAAAUGUUUUGCAACAUUACGAUAUGCAUUAAGAUGAUGCAUGUGUCUUACUUAAACCUUGAAAAUAUUUGUAAGUUAUUGCAACGUUAAUUCGUACACCCAUUAAAUCAAGCCACCUUGUUAUCAACUAGUAAGAAUAUUGAUUACCAUCCAAUUGGUACAUUAACCUAAUUCCUAAGGCAUUCACACGUACUAAUAAUCAUGUAACAUUUAACCAUCAUUCUAACUUAGGCAUAGCUCCCUAGAAAGUUACUUAACUAGAUGAUCUUGAGUGUAUAACCAUCAACUCAACACCUAACACAUCAUAAAACACAAAUGAGUUAUAUUGGGACAAUCUGACCAAGUAGCAUGCUGUUACUAGUUGUCCUUUUUGAAAAAAAAAUUCAUAUUGUAUUGCAUGAUAAAACCUACCAUAGGGGUCGGUCCAACUAUCACAUGAUCAUAAGAAUAUUUUGCAUACUUUUAAGAGGUCUCCUCUAUGAAAUCCACAUGAAAACAUCUACCUUGAGGCAGAUCCAUUUCAUGUAGUCACAAGAGAUUAUCAAUGAAGGCUGUAGGUCUUCUUUAGGGACCUUCUCCAUUCAAUAUUUUAAAAACAUACAAGGUUUUUAAUUUUUGUUUUCAAUCAUGUAUGAUCAAUAUAUGCAUGAUAAGUACAUGCGUCAUUCUUUCCUAAACUAUAUGACAUGCUUAUCUUAUGUAUGCAUGACAUGCUCUGACAAUUUUAUAAUAUUCAUAUUCAAUUAUUCACAAUAGUCAAUUAAACAAUUUUGAUUCUCCAUAGUUUUUCUUUUAAGGGAAAAAUCAAAAAAGUGAAUGUGAAUCGUGCACCAAGUAUGUUCUUAGGAAAGGGAGGUGAGUCGUAUUUAACCACUUAAAAACCAAACCUUUCUUUACCAGACUCAAUCCUAGACAUUCACCUUCUUAUUACCACACUUCUCAUAAUAAUCGAAUAACCUAAAUAAGUGAAUGGAAUAAUACAACACAUGUAUUUUCUCAUUACCGCACUUCUUAUCUUUAAUAGAUCAACUGUGGAUCAUCUUAUACAUAUAUAUCAUAAUGAUAUCAUAAAUAAUUAUUAAAUAGAUAUAUAAAGAGAUGCGUAAUAAAAUAAAAUUGUUAGCCAAGGUUUCCAUGGUUCUAUUUCUAGAAAAUAAAUGAAAAACCAAAAAAUUACAUAGUUUUUUGCCACAAGGCAUUCCUUAUGUCUUCAACCGUCAUCGCUCAACCUUCUCCUUGUCAUGGACUCUUUUUUAGAAAAAUUAUAUUUAUAUCCUAUAUGCGUUUUCGACUCACAAGAAUUCUAAAAAUAAAAAUAAUCCUACGUGGAGAUGAUAGUCCACAGUUUAUUUCCUAAUAAUCACAACAUUGGCAAAACAAUAAUAAUUAUAAAACAAAUAUAUAUAAUAUUGCAUUCAUUCACAAACAUUCCCCUAAACAUGCAAAUAAUUACAAGAAUUCCACAUCUGAUCAAAUAUUAAUCAAAUAAGAUAAAGAGAGAUUUGGUUUCGGUUUACACCAUAAACAUAGCACAAUCUAGCACUCUGAUACCAAAAAAAUCUGGUUUGAAAAUAGAACUGAUCCAGUUUAUGAUAUUUAUAAAAAUAAGCUUAUACCGAAAUUAUACCUGUGUUUUCGGAUAAACGGAUCCUUGAUGUUUUCUAAAUUUCAACCAAAUAAUCUUCUUUGCUAUUCUCGUACCAUGAAAUACUUCGAGUAUAGAGUCGAACCAAUUUGAAUCGAAGCACAGAACUAAAAAAGUUAUCUUCUUUUGCGGUGAAAACAAAAAUUAUCUCCUCUAUAGAAAGCGAUAGAAUAGUUAUUUUGGAAAAAUAUAUUUAAUAGUUGAGAAUUAAUUCUCUUUAUUUUUUGGUAGAAAAACAAUCUCUCAAAAAUUGUAUAAAUAGCUCUACCGGUACCAUCUAUUUAUACGAAGAGAAAGUAAAACCCUUAUUGAGUUGUAGUGGUUUAUUUCAAAUAGAAAAUUAACUUCCUACUUAGAGUAAGAGAGGGGUGGAUGUACACCCUAGUAUUCCUACUAGGGUUUCCGCCCCCUUUAUGUUACAUGAGGAGUUUUGGGUCUCUCUCACAUUGAGUCCAAUUAUGAGUACUGUCUAGGCCUUUUUGACCUAGUACUCUGUAAUGUCAUCCAACCUGGUUCAAUUUUUCUAUUUCCCAAAAUAAAAUUUAAUAUUUAUAUACAAAACAAUUUCUCAUCCCUAUUUUAUCCCUAACAAAAUUUUGACAAUUUUGUCCUUGGUAAAAUUUCGAGAAAAUAUGUUCAAUAUUCCAUAACUCAAAUGUUCACUAUUACUGAAUGGUUUAUUUUCAUUUUCGGGCUUCAAAAUAGUCCAAAAACAUAAACUCAUUCUUCUGAUCAUUUUUUAAGUAAUCUAUAUAGGAUUGUAAAUUUUCAUUUUCAUUUCCAUUUUCAUUUCUAUUUUUGAAAAGCUACACCAAUUUUCAAAUGAUUCCAUUUCUCCAUUUUGGAGAAAACCAUAAUCAUUCCUGAAUGUUUCCCAUUUCUCAUUUUCUAUUCAUCACAUUCAUUUAUAUUCAAAACAGGUAAUUCAUUUUUUUGUUUCAACGUACUAGCAGAGGGACCUAUUGGACUUAUAUAGUUAAGGUUGAAAUGAUUUAUAAUUAAGUUUUGGCUUUUCGUUUAUUAAUUAUAAAUUUAUUUAGUCACGAAGUCAUUCCACUAUAGUAUCAUGAUUGAGCUAUACCCAAUGACAUACCAUUACGAAAGCAACUACUCAGUGCUUGUCCAAUGACCUUGUCAUAAGUAUGUAGGAUAUCAUUGAUCUUUUUGGGAUAAUAUCCAUUCUCCCAAUAUAAUCUUAUUUUAUCUCAUGGUAAGCAUUACAUCUUCGUGAAAUGUCAAUCACUAUCAAACAGUGAUCAAGUCAUCCAUUACAAAGAUGGAUAACUCAUGGCCACGUUUACUUUUCAUCAACCAUGUAAUACCAAUGAGAGGAUAUUAUUUCCUAUGUUUUUGGCAAUUAAAUACCGCUAUUGUGAAUGACGCUACAUACUACAAAAGUUCUACACCCAAUGCACUAACUUUCUGUUUAUUAUCUAUUUGAACUCAAGCUUUUACUCACAUCAAAGUGUACAAGUCACGCAUACAUAGUCUACCAUCCACUCAAGAUUUAGGCAUGCCACACUAUGAAUGCCACAAGUGAAUAAAUCCAUAAAUGGAUUUAGGAUCUAUUCUGAUUGGGUCUUGUCUUUAUGUACAGCUAGUAUAGUCACUUACAUCUAUGUAUAUAUAUUCUAGGAGACAUCCCUCCGAUGCCCAAGACAAAACAUCUCCCCAAUUGGAAUUGAUAGAAGACAUAUUAGACUUUCAAUCAUUUUUCUCAUUUCUAAUUAGACUAAAGACAUGUUUAGGUCUGUAUACUAACACAAGUUGUCUUUCUGUACUAUGAUCUGACCACGUAAUACCGUUUAAUAAUAGUUAAUCAUUUAGAGAAACAAUAAGCAAUAUUUGCUUCUAUUUUGCUUUGCGUGCAAAAACCAUGUGAGGACAAUUAUACAAAGUAUAUUGACAAAAAUACUACACUUAAGGCAUCAGAUCCAACAGAAACUACCCUUAGAAAACCAAUAGAAGACUGCAUGUACAAGGAUAACAUUCAAUAACAUUCCAACCUUGUCUAUGAUACUAACAAAACUCAUCGAAACAAAAAUUUGAAACACAAAACACCUGUUAUCCAUUCCAUCCAAGUCGACAUGUGUAACACCCCAGACCCGACCAAGACGUUAUGGCCGAAUCUGGCGAUGUCACAUGAUAGUACUUUUGAAAUUGUACUUGGCGAGUAAAAACCAAUUAAGUUACUUAAUCUUUGCUAUGAAUAAAACAUUUCUCCUUUUCGUGGGAACUUUGAAAAUAAACUAUUUUAGGGAAAUACGUAAUUAAUUUCCGAAGACCUUAGUUUUUAAGAAAAUCUGUUUGUUUUUAGUAAAAAUAGAAUUUUGAUCAUACUUGUCAAAAAUAAAACAUCAACAGUAUAAACCGAGUUAAAACCAAAUAGUCCAAAGUCCCAGAAAUUACAAAGUAAAGCCCAAAUUAAAAGAGGAAGCAAAUAACUAAGAAAACUGCAUAAAUAUAAUAUGUAAUCGAAGUGGUCAUCACUGAGACCUCCGUUGCACCGAUCUGCCUAAUGCUGGGGAUUACCUGAAAAGAUUAAACAAAAAAGAGUGACUUUUCACAAACUAAGUGUUUAAUCCCCAUAGAAAUAUACACACAGCACAUAUCUGAAAUCAGUCAUGUAUUUAUACAUAGUUCGGGCCUGAGCCCUUUACAAAAUCUGUGUGGACAUUAGCCCACUCAGAUAUAGAAUCAGAUACAGAACAAAAUAACAAAGUCCUACCUACCAGCCUCUACACACCAGCUCUGUCCAACCCUACACACCAUGUGGGGAUAAAAUCGAGCCACCCAUCCCUACACACAAUGUUGUGCCGAAAUGUGGCACAUAAUUAGAUAAUUGCAGCUGUACUGCCAGAAAUCAAGCUUAGGGGCGUUUCAGAACACUUCCUCUAUAUACAAUAACCCAACCCCGAUGCAAUGCAACAUGAAAUACAUGACAUGCAAAUAUGCAAUUAAUAGAUCAUACAUACAAAUCGGUCUACAUGCUAAGAGUAACACGCUAGAGUACAUAUAUCACAUGGUCAGAUCACGUAAUCAGGAGUCAAGUAAUCUUACCGACCUUACAGUAGGUCCCAGAAGACUUAGGUGACCCGAGCAACCUUUCAGAGUAUUUUAGGAAAUUGGGCUCACAUGCAGAUGUGGCCUGCCCGUGUGGGCCGACACGCUUGUGUGGCCUGCCCAUGUGGGUCCACACGCCUAUGUGGGCCACACGGCCCGAACUGGCCUUGGCCGUGUAAACCACACGGCCUAGCCCAGAAUUCCACACGCCCGUGUGGUUCACCCAUGUGGGCCCACACACUCGUAUGGCCUACACGGCUCAAUUGGUCAAGCCCGUGUCUAGCACACGGCCUCACCAAUCCUCACAAGGUCGUGUCAUGAGCCCGUGUCACGCGUGCAUGGCCUAGUUCGUCGAUCACAUGCUCGUGUGCUGCCACACGGCCUAGCACACAGGCGACCACAUGCACAUGUGGCGUCAACAGUUUUAUUUUUCGACUUUCGCUGAUUCUUGUUUUCUGUGUUUCCGGGUACACACCUGGUUCGUUUACGCAACAAACACAAUCCCAAAAUUACCAGCACCUAUAAUUGACCAACAAACACCAAUUAAACACUUGAAUCAUGAACAAUUUGAAACACCUUAACAUGGACAACCCCUUAUUCCACAAGAGCUCUUACCUUAGAAUGAACGACAGUGAAUCCAAACAACCCCAGCACCAAUCGGAAUCCACAAUCCCUUAAUCGUCUCCUAAACAAAGAAUAAACCCCAUUAAUCCACGAUUCAAUAUUACAGAAUUUUAAAUACGCUUACCCCAUUUACCAGGACACAGAACAGUGCCGAAGUAUCGAAAUACCAGUUUACGAUAGCAAAUAAACAAGGAGUAACGGGGAAAUAUUGUAGAAUGGCGAAAGAGAAAGAAAGUAACGACAGCAAGAAGAAACACCAACAAUAGAGUUUUUCCUUAAGAGGAAGAACCGAAUUUUCAAAAUAGAAAAAGAAAAAAUAAUGAAGAUAAUUCCAAUAACUCCCAAUAUCCCUCAAAUCUUUCCCACUAACCCAGUAACAGCCAACUAUUCAGAAUCCAACUUCAGCACAACUCUUACCGAAAUUCGAACAAAAAUAAUACCCCUUGCUAAGGUAGAGACUCGAACUCAAGACCCCCAACACACCAACACACACCCUAACCAUCGACCAGCAGGCCCAUUCUGAUAUAGACUUACCAUCAAUUAAAAUAAAAGCAUACUGAUUAGAGAUAGGGCUUAUUUCAGAAGAAUACCAAAAAUUUUCCCAAUACAAGGCUUAAACUUGGGACAUUUCACACAUACCCAGAACAUUCAACCAUUGAAGCAUAUACUCAAUUGUGUCAUAAUUUACCAAAAACAUAUACAGAUAUUUUUGCGCUACUGAUUUACAAAAGCCGAAGUUUACAAAAAUUUAGGGCGUUACAACUCUACCUCAUAAAAGAAAAUUUUGGCCUUGAAAUUUUACCUUAUCAGAAUAGAUGAGGAUACUACUAACGUAUCGAAUCCUUUAGCUCCCAAGUAGCCUAAUCAGUGCUAUGAUUACGCCAUAAAACCUUAACUAAGGGAAUAGGCUUUCUCCUUAGAACCUUUACGUCGCGAUCCAAUAUCUACACCGGCUCCUCCUUAAAUGUUAGAUCUGGCUGAACUUCUACCUCCUCCACAAGAACAACAUGCAUGGGAUCAGAGCAAUAGUGUCUCAACAUCGAAACGUGGAACACAUCGUGGAUACGGUCUAGCUUAAGAGGUAAUUCCAACUGAUAAGCGACUGGUCCCACUCACUUCAAAAUACGGUACGGCCCAAUAAACCUAGGGCUUAGCUUGCCCUUACAAUCGAACCUUAGAAUCUUCUUCCAUGGCGAGACCUUAAGGAAAACGAGGUCUCUCAUAAAAUAUUCUACCUUCCGGCGCUUCAGAUCUGCAUAAGACUUCUGUCUAUCAGAAGCCGCUUUUAGUCAAUCUCGAAUCGAACGGAUGUUGUCCUCAGUCUCGGAAACCAUCUCUGGGCCUAGAAUACAUCACUCACCUAACUCAGUCCAGCAUAAGGGAGUGCGACACUUACGCCCAUACAGUGCCUCGUAAGUGCCAUCUGUACACUAGACUAGUACCUAUUAUUGCAGGCAAACUCUGCUAAUAGCAAGUACUCCUCCCAACUGCCUUGGAAAUCAAUAAUAUAGCCCUUCAACAUGUUCUCUAGUAUCUGAAUCACCCUUUCCGACUGACCAUCUGUCUGAGGAUGGAAAGUAGUACAAAAGUCUAACCUUGAACCCAAAGCCUCAUGAAGUUUCUUCCAGAACCGAGACGUGAAACUAGGAUCCCUAUUAGAGAUGAUCGAGACAGGUACCCCAUGCAACCUCACUAUUUCAGAAAUAUAGAGCUUGGCCAACUUUUGCAAAGAAAAGUUUGUCCUCACUGGAAUGAAGUGGGUAGAAUUAGUCAAUCAAUCCACAAUGACCCAGACAUAAUCCUUCUUAGUGGGUGUCAGAGGCAACCCACUAACGAAGUCCAUCGUUACUCGCUCCUAUUUCCACAUCGGUAUCUUAACCAGCUGUAGCAAACUUGAAGGUAACUGAUGCUCAGCCUUAACUUGCUGACAAAUCAAAUAGCGGGCAACGAAGUCAGUAACCUCACGCUUCAACCCUAGCCACCAGUACACAUCUCAUAAAUCUCGGUACAUUUUAUUUCUGUCGGGAUACAUAGUAUAAAGGCUACUAUACGCCUCCCUUAGAAUCGACUAUCUCAAGUCCUCAUCGUUCUGUACACAAAUCCGAUCACGAAAACAUAAUACCCUAUCCUUAUUAAUCCCAAAUUCCGUAGUAGUAUCACUCUCAUCCAGACGGAAAUGCAACUCUAGAGACUUAUCCCCCAUCUGUUUAUCUCUAAUCUGAUCAAUCCAUGUCUAUCUAACCUGAAGUUCUGCCAACAGACUCCCAUCGUCGAAGAGACUAAGUCGAGCAAACAUUGCUCUUAGAUCGAUCAUAGCCCUACGGCUUAACGCAUCAGCCAUCACAUUGGCUUUACUAGGAUGGUACUCGAUAGGGCAGUCAUAAUCCUUACAACCCAUCUAUGCUGCCUAAGGUUCAACUCCUUCUAAAUGAGGAGAUGUUUGAGGCUCUUGUAAUCUAUGUAGAUAGUACACUUCUCACCAUACAGGUAGUGCCUCUAAAUUUUCAGAGUGAAGACAACUGCUGCCAACUCUAAAUCAUGUGUCGGAUAGCUAGCCUCAUGAGUUUUAAGCUGUCGAGACGCAUAAGUAACCACCUUACCAUCUUGCAUCAGAACACAACCCAGAUCCACAUGCGAUGCAUCACUGUAUACUAUAAAGUCUUUACCAGGCUUACGCUGCAUCAAAAUAGGAGCCUAAGUUAAGACAGUCUUGAGCUUAUCAAAGCUCUCCUGCUGUGCAUCAGUCCAAAUAAAAGGAACUCCCUUAUGCAAAAGCUUAGUCAACGGCGUGGUGAUCAGGGAGAACCCCUCUACAAAUCGUCGGUAAUAUCCUGUUAGCCCCAGAAAGCUCUAGAUUUCAGACACAUUCUUCGGUUGUUUCCAACUCAACACAGCCUCAAUCUUACUAGGAUCGACUCGUACCCCUUCAGCAGAAAAUACAUGUCCCAGAAAUAACACUUCUCGAAGCCAGAACUCACACUUGCUGAACUUCGCAUACAAUUAUUUCUCAUGAAGAAUCUGUAGAACCACUUUGAGAUACUCAUCGUGCUGAUCCUCUGCCUUAGAAUACACCAAAAUGUCAUCGAUAAACAACAAAUUGGUACAAAUAAGGCUGAAACACACAGUUCAUCAAAUCUAAAAAUUUCGCUGGCGAUUAGUCAAACCAAAGGGCAUAACUAGAAACUUGUAAUGUCUAUAACGAGUCCUAAAUGUCGUCUUAUGCAUGUCGGCCUCCUUAACUCUCAACUAAUGAUAGCUUCAGCGCAAAUCGAUCUUAGAAAACACAGAGGCCCCUCUAAACUAAUCGAAUAAGUCAUCUAUCCUCCAAAGUAGGUACUUACUCUUGAUUGUUAACUUGUUCAACUGACGGUAGUCGAUACACAUCCUCAUUGCCCUAUCUUUCUUUUUCACAAAAAGAAUAGGUGCUCCCUACAGAGACACACUUGGACAAAUGAACCCAUGAUUUAACAACUAUUAAAUCUGAGCCUUAAGUUCCAUCAGCUCUUUCGGUUCUAUUCCGUAAUGGGCGAUAGACACCGGAGCUGUGCUAGGAAUAAACUCAAUCCCAAAUUCUAUCUCACGGCUUGGAGGUAACCCUGAUAGUCUUCAGGAAACACAUCUGGAAAAUCCCUCACUGUUCUGAUGUCUUUAACCGAAGAGUCCCUAGAAUCAAAAAUACUAAAGUAGGCCAAGAAUGUCUCACACCCUUUUUGAACCAAUUUUUUUGCUACCAAAGCAGAGAUCACAUUAGUCAGGUAGUCUCGUCGCUCCCCAAUCACCACUAUCUCACUGUCCUCCUCGCUUUUCAAGACAACCCUUUUCGUCAUACAAUCCAGACUCACCCGGUGUUUAACCAGCCAGUCCAUUCCUAAAAUCAGAUCGAACUCUCCAAACGGAAGCUCUAUUAAAUUAGCCAAAAAUACUGUCCUUUGGUCCUCUAGCGGAACGUCUCUAAACAGUUUACUCACUCGAACAGAUUGCCCCAAAGGACUAAACACAAUCAUCUCACUAUCAGUACCUUUGACUAGAAUUCCCAAGGUUUCAGACACAGUACUAACUACAUAUGAAUGGGUAGAGCCUAUGUCUAUCAAUGCCAAAUAAGGUACAUUAUAGAUUAAAAACAUACCCUUAAUGACAUCUGAAGCAUCUCUGUCCUUACGGCGACAAGCAACAUAAACCAAAGUAGGCUACCUCGCCUCAGUCGGUCCAGUACCUCUAUCUAGUGCUCUUUGUCCUUGGCCCAUGCAGUUACCACCCUUAGCCUGACCACGGCCCCUAGGUGGUUGCUGAACUACCUUAGGCGACUGUGCAGUAACAUAACCUGAAGCUUGCAUCUGAUCGGUUCUUAGUGGACAAUCACAAACACGGUGCUCAGUAGAUCCACAUCUUAAACACGCCUAAGUGGUCUUCCAACACUCGUCCAGGUAGCGUUUACCACAAUGUCCACAAAGCGUCACCCCAAUAGGUACAACAGAAGCCCUAACUCUGACUAGCCUAUCAAGUCUGACCUUUUUCUUAGGUCUCAUCGCAGAACUGUAAUACCAGCGUCUCACUAGUAUCUAGAUUCGGAAUAGUAUCAAAUGCCAAUGACUCAGCUCGAGCCCCCUACGGCCCCUACCACGACCUCUAGUACCCCGUCUAUGAGUACUACGUGUGCUCAUUGUAAAUUUUAGAAUUUAUCUAUGUUUACAGUUUUAUGCAUUAGUUAUAGUUCCAAUAAUUAUUGACAGAUAUUUUAUCCACAAUAGUAUUAGAAGUUUAGAGUCUGUUAUCGCAAAUCACAGUCUCACUACUGGUUUCAGUUUACACUCUCUAGAGCGUUUUCAGUGUAAUAUACUAACUAGAGUAGUUUCAGUAUAUUUUUAUCACACUUUCAGACAAUUCUAAACAGAGUUUCAGAAACUUACAAGAUCGGCACCGGAGACUCGAUGUGCCACAUACUUUUUUCCAAAAAUAUUUCAAAUUAUUUACAAAUCAUUUCUUUAAAACCAAUCUUUCAAACCCAAAUCCAUAGCCGAGUUUUUCAAUUUGGCUCUGGAACCACUAAAUGUAACAACCCAUACUCGGCUUAGACGUUAUGGCCGAAUCUGGCGAUGUCACAUGAUAGUGCUUUUGAAAUCAUACUUGGCGAGUAAAAACUGUUCUAGUUACUUAAUCUUUGUUAUGAAUAAAAUGCAUCUCUUUUUCACGGGAGCUUUGAAAAUAAACUAUUUUAGAGAAACUCGUAAUUAAUUUUUAAAGACCUUAGUUUUUAAGAAAAUUCGUUUAUUUUUAGUGAGAACAGAGUUUUGAUCAUGCUUGUCAAAAAUAAAACAUCAACAGUAUAAAUCGAGUUAAAACUAGAUAGUCCAAAGUCCUAGAAAUUACAAAGUAAAACCUAAAUUAAAAGAAGAAGCAUAUAACUAAGAAAACUGCAAAAUAUAGUACGUAAUUGUGGUGGUCACCGCCGAGACCUCCGCUGCACCGAUUCGCAUAAUGCUGGGGAUUACCUGAACAAGUUAAACAGAAAAUAGUGAGUUUUCAUAAACUCAGUGCGUAAUCCCCAUAGAAAAUAUACAUACAGUACAUAUCCGAAAUCAGUCAUGUAUUUAUACAUAGUUCGGGCCUGAGCCCUUUACAGAAUCGGUGUGGACCUUAGCCCACUCAAAUACAGAAUCAAAUACAGAACAGAAUAACAGAGUCCUACCCACCAGCCUCUACACACCAGCUCCGUCCAACCCUACACACUAUGCGGGGAUAAAAUCGAGCCACCUAUCCCUACACACCAUGUUGUCCCGAAAUGUGGCACAUAAUCAGAUAAUUGUAACUGUGCUUCCAAAUAUCAGGCUUAGGAGCCUUUCAGAACACUUCCUCUAUAUACAAUAACCCAACCCCGAUGCAAUGCAAGAUGCAAUACAUGACAUGCAAAUAUGCAAUUAACAGAUCAUACAUACAAAUCGGUCUAUAUGCUAAGAGUAACAUGCUAGAGCACAUAUAUCACAUAGUCAGAUCAUGUAAUCAGGGGUCAAGUACCUCUUACCAACCCUACAGUAGGUCCCAGUCGACUUAGGCGACCCGAACAACCUUUUAGAGUAUUUUAGGAAUUUGGGCUCAUAUGCCGAUGUGGCCUGCCGUGUGGGCCCACACGACCGGAGUUGGCCUCGGCCGUGUGAACCAUACAGCCUGGCCCAGAAUUCCACACGCUUGUGCGGUACACGCUCGUAUGGCCUAUACGGCCUAAUUGGUCGAGCCCGUGUCUAGUACAUCACUUCGCCUGUCCUCACACGACCGUGUCAUGCGCCUGUGUCAUGUGCACACGGCCUAGUUCGUCGAUCACACGUCCAUGUACUGCCACACGACCUACCACAGGGGCGACUAUAGGCCUGUAUAGCGUCGACAGUUUUAUUUUUCGGCUUUCACCAAUUCUCAUUUUCUGUGUUUCUGGGUACACACCUGGUUAGUUUACGCAGCAAACAUGAUCCCAAGAUUACCAGCACCUAUAAUUGACCAACAAACACCAAUUAAACACUUAAAUCAAGAACAAUUUGAAACACCUUAACACGGCCAACCCCUUAUUCCACAAAAGCUCUUACCUUAGAAUGAACGACAGUGAAUCCAAACAACCCCAGCACCAAUCGGAAUCCACAACCCCUUAAUCGUCUCUUAAACAUGAAAUAAACCCUAUUAAUCCACGAUUCAAUAUUACAGAAUUUUAAAUACACUUACCCCACUUAUCAGAGUGCAUAAUAAUACCGAAGUAUCGAAAUAUUAGCUUACGAUAACAAAGAAACAAGGAGUAACGUAUAAAUAUUGUCAAAUGGCUAAAGAGAAAGGAAGUAAUGGUAGUGGGAAAAAACACCAACAACAGAAUUUUUCCUUGAGAGGGAGAACCGAAUUUUUAAAAUAGCAAAAGAAAAAAUAAUGAAGAUAAUUCCAAUAACUCCCCAUAUCCCUCAAAUAUCUCCCACUAACCCACUAACAACCAACUAUUCAUAAUCCAAUUUCAGCACAACUCUUACAGAAAUUCGAACAAAAAUAAUACCCCUUACUAAUGCAGAGACGCGAACUCAAAACCCCUAGCACACCAACAGACUCCCUAACCAUCAAACCAGCAGACCCAUUUUGAUAUAAACUUACCAUCAAUUAAAAUAAAAGCCUACUUAUUAGAGAUAGGGCUUAUUUCAGAAGAAUACCAAAAAUUUUCCCAAGACAAGGCUUGAACUUGGGACUUCUCACACACACCCAGAACACUUAACCACUAAAGCAAAUACUCAAUUGCGCCAUAAUUUACCAAAAACAUAUACAGAUAUUUUUGCGCUACUGAUUUACAAAAGCCAGAAUUUACGAAAAUUAGGGGCGUUACAACAUGCUUCGUCAAAGUUCAAGUUAAAUAGAAGAUGAUAUAAAUUGAAUAGCAAAGCCAACUAGUUCGAUACCUAACUUUAAUUGAAUCCCCCCUAAAAUCAAAAUAGUUGUAGAUGUUUUUAAUGAAGCGCCUUAGUUACCCAUGACACUACAACUUCAUAUUUUAGACACUAAAUUCAAAUGCAUUUUGGAAUUUGGUUGACUAGCUUCUCAAAUGCCCAAAAGUACCUGGCCUGUUCCUAUAGAUUAACUUAAAAGAUCUAGGAAAGGUUACAAAUAGAGUCAUAAUUAAGAUUUAUAUAUAGUAUAAAUAGUUCUCUAUAUUUUGUUUAUGUACUAUCAAAAUAACUCUAUUUUAUGAAUAUUGCUUUCUUAGUGUGUGUGCAUAUAUAUACCAAAUUAAUUUGAAAAUAUUUCAAUAAUCUUCGGAUAAGUUAUUUAAAAAAAAGUGAAUUUUGAAGAAUAAUUUUUGUUUCAAUGAUUUAAGAUCAGGUAGAUGAAUCCCACCUUAAGGUAAAUCAAAAUGGAAUCCCUACAUAUAAUUUUUGUUUGGAUGAUUUAGUGUAACACCCUAUACCCGACCCGGUUGUUGGGUCCAAGCUAUAGGAUGCCAUAUUUGUUGUUGGAGCAACUACGAUAAAUUAUACACAAAUUAGAUCUUUAUACAUUUAGAUAUGAGUAUUACAUGUGUUUAAUGCGACAUAUAUUCAUUUAUGGGUCAUAUAUGAUUUUAUGAAAGCUCAAUACUAUUCUGGGUCAAAAAAAGACUAAAUUGUAAAGUUUGUAAAACAUCUCAAAUAGGUGUCACGACUUCCAUGGCUUGGUGUCACAGCCUUGAAGAUAGUAAGCAAGUUUCCUAACUUGAGGACCAAAUUGUAAAAUUUUCAAAAUAUUACAGAGUCAACGUCAUGACAUCAAAUAGAGGAUGUCGCAACGAAGAGGAUCAGUGACGUGGCAUCCAAGGAGUGGAGCCGAGACAUCAUCAACAAUAAACUACACUUCCAUUUUCAUACAUUUCCAAACUAACAUAUGACAAUAAUAGUUGGCUUUAAGCUCCCAAUAGACCAGUCAACAUAUAUAAAACAUGCUUAAUAUACAAUUUCUAAACCAUAAAAUCCAUUUUCAUGCAUAACUAUUAAAAAUUUUAUUUAUUCACUACAUCAUACUCAAAAUUGACCAUUUUCAACUUGAAACUAGAUAAUCUUAGGUACAUUCCAAUUGACAAAAUGAAAAGAGCUAUACAAACUUACUUGAGUUGAAAGUUGUGAUCUGGAUGUUGACUUCACCUCUUGGGGCUUUAAGAAUUACCUAAACCUGUGUAAGGGAUAAACAAACCAAACAUUAAGCGAUAAAAUUUAAUGAUACUUUCAUGGUUCAAGAUAAUGUAACAUACACAUUAGUAGCAUAUCACAAUACAAAUACACUCAAUAUCUAACCAAUUCAUGUUCUAUAAUGCCAAUCAAUCCAUUAUCGUAUACAAAUAUGACAAUGACAAACCAAUCCAUUCAACAUUGCAUCAUAUUUAAUCAAUUCAAUUCACUUCCUAAGCUCCUAUCAUUAAGUCAUUUAGCAUUCAUUAUCAUUCAUAAAUUCAAUAUCUAUACAUAUAUACCAUUGACAUUAAGCCAUCCAAAUCCCAUGAUUAAUCCAUAUCAUUUACCUUUUAACUUACCAUUAAAAUCAUUUUCCAGAGUUUAUUGACUCAUUCGCAUUAUUCGGUCCCUAGGGCUCGUUUUCAAUUGAUUUGCAUAAUAGGUUACAUGCAUUCUCUAUCUUAAUUCACAUAUAUACAUAAUGGAUUUUAUAGCAUUAUAUGAUCUCAUUUCAGUAUCAUUUAUCAAGUUUGCAAUUUAUAACCCUUAAUUAACCUAACUUAAACUCGGAUAGAUACACGGAUCAUCCAACCAACACACCAAAUUAGCAUCGAAGUGCAUUAUCGGAUAAGCCGAAGUAGGGAAAACUAACAAUGAUAGUGCAUACUGGAACACGAAGUACAUCCUAGCGUACAAAGUGUAUUCUAACACAUGAAGUGCAUCCUAUCACACAAAAUGCAUCCCAACACACAAAGUGUAUCUUGGUGUAUAAGCGUAUAAACUCAUACACAAUCCAAUCUUAUGGCAUUCCAACUAUAUCUGACACAGUCCGAACAACUAAUAGGGUACCAAUGUUCUAUUCUCAUUAUAUCAUCUGAUUCAUUUAUUAUAUCACAUUCAAUUUCAUAAUCUCAAUUCUAUUCAUCAUCAAUAUACAUGUAUUUACAUCAUAUAACAUAUUUCCAUUCAUUUUUCUAUGUCACAUAUCAUAUUUCAACUAAUUCUUGUGAUUUUAUAUUCUAUUCAAUUCAAUCCAAUUCUUGACAUUCAAUAUCAUUCAAUACGAAUCAAUUCAUACGAAAAUAUAAGAUUAUCUCCAUAGUUAAUCAUGCAAUCAACAUGUAUAUGUAUAUAUAUAAUGAUCUCGAAUCAUAAAAGUACAAACCGAGAUCUUGCGUCACUUGUCAACAACUCUCACUUUUUAUUUCCUUCUCGACAGCUCAGUGUCAAGUUAGCUACGUACGACAACACAACAAAAUAAUCAAUAUCAAUUUCCAUCAAUUUACAUUCAAACAUAAAGUUAAGUAUGUUUUACAAUUUAUUCAAUUUAAUCCCUAAACCCAAAACAAGUAUAACUUUCGAUAUGAAACUUCGGAUUAAAAUUCGAUUUCACAUUUACCUAUUAGGUACCUUAUACAUUCUAUCCCUAGCAUAAUUUCAUAACAUAUUUUGAUUUUAUUCAAUUUGGUCCCUAAUGUAACAAAGCUACAAAUCAAGCUUAUUAAGCUUUACAAUUUAGUUAUUUUCAUAAUCUAAGCUUAAUUUCUAUAAAUUUCAAGCCUAAUUCUUCAAUUUCUCAAUAAUGGUAACUUACCAAAUUUCACCAAUUUAACAAAUUGAUACAUGGGCUAACUAAAUUAAGUUCCAAUGAUUCAAUUUUCAUAAAAAUAAAAAAAAGACUAAGAACUUGAAAUUGUUAGCCGAAUAUCAAAAUAGGAUUGAAACUUUCUUCUUUUUCUUGGCUAUGGUGGACGGUCAUGAAAUGAAAAAGAUGAUGACUUUCUCCAUUAAGGUUUAACUUAUAUACUAGGUUUAGUUGUAAUUAAACUUAAUUAGUUAAAUUAAUCAUGUUUAACUAACACUAAUCAUGCUUUAAUUAAACUAAAGACAUCCACCAUCAUCAUUCACUAACAUCCAUUUUAAAUUGGUUUAUUAACCAUCCCUUGGAUAAUUUCUAUAUAAGUCCUCAAGCUUUUUCCAAAUUAAAACUUUAUAGAAAUUUAACUUUUACAAUUUAGUCCCUAAGCCUUCAUUAACAACAUUUUCGGCUAAAUUACUUAAUUAAAUUUUAAUAUAUCUAUAUAAUAACUCCGUCAAUAUCCCUAUUUAAUAUUUAUGAACUUGGCUUACAGAAAUGAGGUUCUAAAAUCGUAAUUUUUGACUCCACAGAAAACCAGAUUGUUACAUUUGUGAUUAACUCUUAUAUCCUUAUUGUCACAACCAAUCCGAUAACAUUCUCAAAACACCAUUAUACAAGUUUAUACUUUGAAAAAAAAAUUCCAAUCAUAUCAUUACAUGACAUAACAUCCCAACACAUUGAUAUUAAUGCCCCAUUUUCUAUUAUGAAAAUAGUAAAAGGUCUAGCUAAAUCUAAUGACAAUUGCCUUAAAAACUAAUGACAUUUUUCUAAAUUCUAAACUCGAAGGGUUAUGCAUAAUUUUUAGCAUACAUAUGCAACCAUCUAAAAGAAUGAUUAAAACAAUCAAUAAACAACUAUCAUCAUACACUAAACAAAUACUAAGACAAUUUCCUAAACUAACCAGUUAAGCAUGUAUCCAUUUAAGAAAAUAAAGUUAUAGAAGGGAUAAUUACCUAGAUGAAGAAGAUAUUACAACUAACUCCUUGUCCCUUGUCCAAUAGGAUUAUUUGUUUGCUGUUGCUGAAUCUAGAGAAUACUAGUUGCAAAUUUGCAGUGUUGAUUGGUAAGGCUAGUUUUUAGCAACUUCUACAUUUGAUGUGCCUUGACCAACUCUAGAAAUCAUGAUUUAUAAUUGUUAUUCCUUGCUCCCAUUAGUGACUUAAGCAGUCAAAAAACAAAAGUCAACUACAAACAUGUAGUUCUUUUAAAAAAAAGAUUUUCUAGCUACCAAAAAAGCCAUUCAAAACAUACCAAAAUACUUAGCUCAUCAAGCUAGAACAAGUAUCAACUAACAGAUUUUCACUCUUAAGCACAAAAUCUCACAAAGAAUAGAACUUGAUAUACUGCGAAUAAAAAAGGCCAUAUUAAAAAACAAAAAAAAUAGUAAGGAACAAAAGCCACCUAACAUCAUCAUUCAUCCAAUUGAUAAAUCAAAAACACAAAGACAAAACAUUUAUUUAUAUGCACAAAUUUUCCUUCUCUUGGAAAUCUUAAAAAAAAAAACUUCCCUAAACAUUAAGAAAGAGCCCUUGAGUUAGAAUUAUGAAUAAUUGGCUUAGGCUGAGUUUCAUCAAAGGUCAAUAAAUUAGUAGAUUAAAAGGUUGAGCUUGAUGGAGUUUUGUGCUUGAGACUCAGGUAGCUAGGUUUCAUUUCUUUUCAACCUACACAAAUCUACAUGAGAGAUGCCGGAUACAUCAAAAAAGUUUUAAAUUUUAGAAAAAUUGUACUUAUUUGGGAGCUAAUUUGAAGUGAAUAGGAGAUGAGGAUUUAGCAAGGGGAGAGUUUCCAUAUUUUAGUGAAGUUUUCUAAUGAAAGGAAUGAGGAAAGCUAUGUUUUGAUUAACUUACAACUGGGUAUUCUUGGUUUUAGCUAUUUUGUUUAUUUUUUAGUAGUUGAGAUUUUUGGGUCCUAUAUCUAAUGAAUAACAAUAACCCAAAUGUUUUGUGAGCAUUCUUGUACAAUUUUCUUAGCUUAAGUUAGAAUUUUCAAUGGAAAUUUUCUUUGGUUAAAAUAUGCUAUAAGUUCUGUACUCUUUCCAAAUUUGAAAUUUAGUAACUAUGCUUUUAUUUUUAGGAAUAUAGUCUCAUUUCUUUUUAGAUUUCAAAUUUUAAAUUCAAUUGUUAUUAUUAUUAUUAUUAUUAUUAUUAUUUAUUAAAUUGAUUGGUGUGACAUUUUGAAAUAAAAAAAUUUCACUUGGUAAUAAUAUAGCUAAAAAAUUAAUAGUGUAAUGAUCCUGAAUUUAACAAAAUAAUUUUAACAAUGUUGACAAUUGGAUUUAAAUUUUAAAAUCUGAAAAGUAGAGCAACUAAAUUCCUAAAAUUUUAAGGAUUAAAUUCUAAAUUUACAGAAUACAGGGACUUAUGAUUGGUUUUAACCAUUUUCUUUUAACCCUUUAUUCUCAUUGGGGUCGGAAAAACCUCGUGAUUCAAAAUUUGACCCGAUUGAGACCGGGUCUGGGCUUAACAGAGGAUUUGGAGGCGAGGAAAAGUAAAAUCCACAUUUGUGUGCGGGAGAUCUCUCACUCCCCAUCUAUCUCUAUAUAUGGCAAAAAUAAUCAAAUGAAUAAAAUAAAUAAAAAAUAAAUGCUCUGAAAAUUCGCAUUCCACGGAAACACAAUUCUCCGUAUUCUAGAUUCGCUUCAGUUCCUCAAAUUGUUGUUUGGAGAAUAAGCUUUGUGAAUCAGGUAAAGAUGAUGGUCGAGGAUCUGGGCGUGGAAGCCAAGGAAGCGGCGGUUCGUGAGGUGGCGAAGAUACUUCCUCUUCCUGAGCUUUUACAAUCCAUUUCUACCAUCAAAGCUGAUUAUAUUACCCGUCAACAGGUAACGCACUCCCUCUUUUUCUUUUAAUCUUUUCACAAUUGAGGCUUUCAAUUGCGUUGAAAUUAAAUUGGGCCAACUUCUUUUUUCCCCUCUCUUAAUUGUCAGGCAAAUGACGCACAACUUAGUACAAUGGUUGCAGAGCAGGUAUCUAACUUAACGAUUUUUAUCUUCGUUUUACUGAUCACAGGUUUCGUUUGGUUAUUAUUGCUUUAGCUACUUGAUUUCGAUGUUUUUUUUAAUUGAUAAAAAAUUUAUUUGCAAGCAAAAAGCAAGUAGCAAAAGCAAAACCAAAGAUUACUUAAUUACAUAUAUGGAUCUAAGGAAGCUCCUAUUAUUAUUUUUAAUUGUUUUUGCAUGGAAAAAUAUUACCCACUACAGGUUGAGCAGGCCCAAGCGGGACUCGAAUCGCUUAACUCAUCUCAGAAAACAAUAAGCCAGCUGCGUGAAAACUUUAUAUCUAUUGAAAAGUAUGUUCGAUACUAUUACAUUGUUAGAUGCUAUCAAUGUUUAUUCUCUUGAUUUUUCUUGAAAAUUUUCAAAUAUAUGGAUUACGUUGUUUAUCAGGUUAUGUCGAGAGUGCCAAAACUUAAUUGAAAAUCAUGAUCAGAUAAAGCUUCUUAGCAAUGUCAGGAACAACUUAAAUACAACGCUCAAGGUGAGGUUUCAGUAUCUUAUAAUUUGAAAACCAUGAUCAGUGGUGUUUGUCACUUUCUCUUGAUCGGAUUAAACAAUCAUGAAGAGAAACAAAUCAUAAUUAGUUGAUUAUUCUUUGAGUACACACCUGUGGAAGGGCAUAAAUCCCUUUUUGUAGCAUGCCUAAAAUUUUUUGUUUACCAUUUAAGGUUUGCAGCCUUUUUAAUUGUUGUUCCCAACUAGAAUGCUUUUCAAGGCUUGGACUAACUCUUGGAAAGACUGAUGGUAAUGUUAUUGGAAAAAAGAAGUUUGUCAGUUAUUUAUAAGUUUUAUUGUCAAGUUUUAUGUGGAAACUUACUUUUGUCUAGUGUAAAGCUGUGGUUAUGUGGCUUUAGUGCUUUUCAAUGUAUUAAAUUUUCUUAUGUUGUAGCAUUGUUUUUGAUAUAUUGAUUUAUUGUAGGAUGUUGAGGGUAUGAUGUCCAUUUCAGUUGAAGCUUCUGAGGCUCGAGAUUCUUUGAGUGAUGAUAAAGAACUUGUUAAUACUUAUGAGGUAUAAUUUUUUUCUAAAUAAUCACAGCAAGUUGGGGGCUCAAUGAGUUUAAUGUUUGAGAAAUUGUGUAUUGAUGCUCUAUUUCUCUUUUCAUCCUUUAUUUCUCAGAGGUUAACUGCACUUGAUGGGAAGCGGCGAUUUGCUUUAGCAGCUGUGGCAUCUCAUAAAGAAGAGGUCGGCAGGUUAAGGUGUGCAUCUCCUUCAAUUUUGUCAUGUAAAAUAUAUGAUAAUUAUAGCAAUGCCAACAUGCUUACUGGAAAAUUGAUGUGGAAAUAUUUGUCUAUGUAUUAGACAUUAAUUUCUUUCUAUUGUAUGCCUUAUCUUUUUAAAUGGUUGUUGUUAGUUUGACAAAUUUGUAAAAUAUGUUAAGAAAGAAUAAUAUCUCUGCAAUCAUUGACAAAGUGAUAUAUGCUUGACUGGGGUCAAUUCUCAGGUUUUGAAAAAUUAAUAUGUGGAAUAGUGCCCCCCCCCCCUCCAUUUAUAUUAAAGACUGAAAUUAAACAAAAACUUGAAUGGAGGAUAUCAAAUAAGUAAAACUAGGAAAAUUACCUGGCAUUGCUUGGGAUCCCAUUUUUUUAUUUUAAAAGAAAAUAAAUUGUUUGAUAUGUAUAUUUUGUUGAACAAUGAGUAUUCCAUAUUCAUGUUGGAAAAUAUAAAAAUGCAUCAUUUAUAACAUUUUAGGACUUUUUUUUCUAAAAUAAAUAUCUUUAACUAUUCAAUUUAAUUUACUAAGAAUCUGUAAAUUGAUUAUUUUGGGAUUUUUUUUUCUGAAUAUGACUAGAUUAGGGUAUCUAAUUAAACUUUAAAAUGUGAUACACAUUCAAAUAUAAUUGCUCUAUACAAAAGUACAUCAUGCAUUUUAAUGUAUUAAUACAAAGAUUAAUAUAUUUUAUCUUUAUAAAAAUAUUUACUUUGUAUGUAAACAGAUCUAUUACUUUUUGCUUUUAUAAGUGAAAGGCAAAUGAAAAAGGGUAAGAGCAAAACCAUCUCUGACUUGUAAAAAUUCAUGGAUUAUUAUAGCAAAGACAUGAGAUUGCAUCUUAAUAUAGGAGCUUUUCUUUUUUUGAAGUAAUAAGAUAACUUACCUUCUUUUCUGGAUUUAAAGUUUUUGAAAUUAAUGUAGAAGUUCUUUUUGAUAAUAAAACAUAUAAAAUUAUAGUGUUUACAUAAUGAGAGUUUGUAAUGAUGAGAUGCGAUUUAUGAUGACUGGAUUUUUUCUGCCUACACCUCUGUCUGAAGUGGCAAUUGCAAUGUUUCACAAGCCAGCCUGGAUAUUUGGUGGUAUGCAUUGGAAACGGUUCCAUUUCCUUUUGAUUUUGGCCAAUUCAAACAAAUGUUUCUUAGGUUCACCUGUACAAGAGGCUGUUCAACUCAGGUUUGCUCUUAAUGGGCUUAAAUCGUGUGACUUGAUCCUUCUUGAUGCAAGAAUGGACUUAAAACAAUGUAAUAUAGGAAAUCUCAUAUGAUGAUGGUAGUCAUAGAUUGUAAAAAAUGUUUGUAGCUUUGGUCUCACGUUUGUCAUAUUUCUUUUGCUUCAUUCUAUAGUAAAAGAUUUUUUGACUUAUUUUUAUUGGAAUCUUAACAUUGGUUGUGUCCAGGGAAUAUUUUGAAGAUGUUGAUCGAACCUGGGAAACAUUUGAGAAAACAUUAUGGGGUCAUAUUUCCAAUUUCUACAAACUCUCAAAAGAAAGGUAUGCACACAGGAAUUUGAGGAUCUUUGAAACUGGUUUGUUUGAAUAUUGUGCCUAAAUCAUAAUAUGUUUUUGUCAUCACACUUCAUUAAGAUCCCCCUAACAAGGGGUUCCUGUCUGCUGCAAUCUAUGUGCACUAUUCUCAAAGCAUUUUUAAAUUUCUUGAAAUUACCAAUUUUAUGAUUCUUGUCAGUAUCUUAAGCACACACUUUCAUGACAGUAACAUUUUUCUCUUUUUAUUUCGGUGUUCAGUAUAUUUACAACAAUAUUCAUUCUAAUGACUUCUUUAAGGUAGUUUACCUUAAAUUUUUAAUGGAAUUUUAGCAAUGAUCUAUGGAUGAAUAUGCUUGAAAAGUAGGGGUGAUAUGGUUCGGAUCAGGUUGGUUUUGGAAUAAAAAUUGUGAUUACCCUAUAGUAUUCUGUUUUUUAAUAAACCAAACCAAAUAUCAAGGUAAUCGAAUUGAAUUGAAUUCCAACAGUUUGGAUAAGUUCAGUUCAUCGUUUUUUAAGAAGUUUAAAAAAAAAAUUCUAUGUACUUUUUUAAAUUUAUUUUCACUAAUUUUUAUAUAAAAUAUUUAUUUUUAUAUUAUAAAAUUAUAAAAAAUAAAAACUAAUUAUAAAUUAAGUAAAUAAAAAAAUCGAUUUGAUAUGGAUAAUAGAAGUUUUUUUAUCUAGUGAACUGAAAACUGAACCACAUAGAUUUAAGUACUAACCAAACUGAAAGCGAACCAAACACUAUGGUUCAAAUCAAUUUUCAAUUUUCUUGGUUUUUUUGCUCAGCCCUAUUGGAAAGAUGUGUAAUUUUUUGCUUUAGGGAUGAUAAAUUUUCAAUUGAGAAUUUUUUAUCCAUAGGAAGGAAGAACUAAGUUGAGAACUCUAGAUAUAAAGCUUGUCAUUGUGAAAUCGAGGGAGAGAGAAAGAGGAAGAAAGAAGACAGCUUUGCUGUCACUGCUUUGGCUGUAAUCAGCUUUGAACAAGAAGAAAAGAAGAGAGUAGAGAGAAAAGGGUUUUCUGAAAUAAUUUCUUGUGUAUAUACAUUAUGCUUCAUAACAUAUUUAUACUAGUACCUAGAUAUACAAUGAAGGAAAGGUAUCUAAACUAAUGCUAAUUAACCCCUAGAAUUAUGCACAAAAGGUACUAAUAAUAUCAUAACAUCAAUCAACAUGGUCAUAAAGAUCUCCCCUCUCUUUUGCAUUUUUUCUAUUGUUGCACGCCUUUUCAACCUGCGCCUCCUUUUCUAAUAAAUAUGCAUGUAACAUAUCUUCUUUCUAGUUUGAGCAUUUUUCUAAAUUUUCUAAAUUCGUAGAUUGUUUUUUUAAGUGUUUCACCAAACUAUAAAAAACCCCCUUAUUUGAGUAUUAAAUUUGAUUGAAAAGCUUUGAGCAUUAAAUUUGAUCAUGAAACUUGAUUGUUAGUUUGUGCCUUUUAAGCAUUCAAUCCAAAACCAGUUUCUAAAAAGACCUAAAUUUAAGGGCCUUGUGAACCCAAACUAAAUCCUUGCGGCAUAACACCUUUAAUGACUUCCAUUUCAUCUUUAGGCUUGGUUUUUCAAUUGAAACAAAUUGGUCUACACAAGAACAACACAUAUGGGUUUAACAUAAUAACUAAAUAUGGGAUAUUAUAGAAUGUUAAGCAAAGAACUCAAAAUCAGCUAAUUGAUGAUUGAGAGUAAAAAAAGAUCUUAAUGUAGCUGAUAACACUUGUUGGUACCUUUUCAUUGGGACAUGAUAGUUGGAGAUGCUAAUUUUGGUUUCGAGUAUUAGCCGUUGAAUAAAUCUUUUGUGAGAUGUUCCAUUGAAUGGUAACAAGAAAGAAUAUUCAAUUCCCACUCUCGUCACGUUUGAAUAAUUACAAUUUGUCUAGGAAUGAAUCUUUCUAGGAGAGUAUUCCAAUCAAUGCAUGAUUUAGGGAUACCAACAAAUCCAAUGUAAGCCAAGAUCUCUAAUGCAGACAAUUGCAUAACAUCACCUCUUCCAACAGGAUAGUUGCCCAUGGUGGAAUCAUGUUGUAACUGAAAAUUGGUAAGUUGUACAAACGUUGGAUCCUUUAGAGCUUAAUCAGACUCUCGAAAUAACCUCUUAAAUAUGAGUUUGCAAUGUAAUAUCUUCCAUUUACUUCGAUCCUUAGCUGCCUUGAUUUUUGCUAGUAGUUCACCAAUAUCCUUAGUAUCAUCUAACUCUAUGUUUACAUAUGGACGCUGAGGAAAAUAAUCAUGCAAGAUAGAUACUAUGUUUACAUAUGGAUUCCAAAUCAUUAGCAAAAGGUCCUCAUUCAUAUGUUUCUCAUGAAUUUCAUCCACUAGCAAUUGAUUUUCUCUAGAAGUCACUAGAACUCGAUUUUCAACAACUUUCAAAAUGUCUACUUUCAUGUUGAUUGCGGGUAGUUUUCUUCGAAAGAUUCUUUACAUCGUUAUUAGUUUUUGUGAUUUUUCUUGAGUUCAAUUUUGAUUUUUUCUCUUGGUAAAGGUCGUUUCGAUUGUAGAAACUAAAUCAAUUUCUUUGUACUCCAAAACCAUUCGCUGAAGUUGUGCCCCUUGAGAUAUCCAAAAAAUUUUCGACUCACCUCCAAUCCUCCCUUUCUUUCCAGGAUGUGGUUAUCAUUCUAUAAACAAUGAAAGACUUCUUCAAAUGGAUGCUGUGAAAAAUAAGAUAUUUUCUAUUAUAUUUUUCACAAGAGAUUACAUACAUAUUUGUACACAUAGUUAGCCUAACUAAGGUAACUUUACGCUAGGAAACAGAAUAAUUGUAGGGAUACUGUACAGCCUUAAAGUUAGGGAUAGAAUAUUUUUAGAAUCAUAUUUGAUAUACUCAAAUAUUCUGAAAUCUGACACUCCCCCUCAAGCUGGGAAGUGGAUAUCAUCCAUUCUCAGCUUGCUUACUAAUUUCUGAAACAACUUCCCAGACAAUCCUUUGGUAAGUAUAUUUGCUAGUUGUUCAUCAGUGGACACAAAUGGAGUGCAAAUUAAGCCACAGUCCAGUUUUUCCUUUAUGAAAUGUCUGUCCACCUCAACGUGCUUCGUUCGAUCAUGUUGAACUGGAUUAUGUGCGAUAUUGAUAGCAGACUUAUUAUCGCAAUACAACUUCAUUGGACCUUCCCACUUGAUCUUCAAGUCUUCCAAUAUAAUCUUUAGCCAUAACAACUCACAAACUCCAAGAGCCAUUGCCCUAAAUUCAGCUUCUGCACUAGAUCUAGCCACAACGUUUUGUUUUUUACUCCUAGUCACAAGGUUGCCUCCUAGGAAAGUGCAGUAACCAGAGGUUGAUCUUCUAUCAACCAUAGAUCCUGCAUAAUCUACAUCGAUAUAGGCUUCAAGGGUUAAAUUUUCUCCUUUUUUAAAUAAGAUUCCUUUGCCUGGCGUGCCUUUUAAGUACUGUAGAAUCUGAUAUACAGCACUAAGAUGUGAUUCCUUAGGAUUGUGCAUAAAUUGACUUACAACACCUACUGCAUAGGCAAUAUCUGGUCUGGUAUGGGACAAGUAAAUAAGCUUCCUCACAAGUUUUUGAUAUGACCUUUUAUCAAGUGCUGUAUCUUCUAAUACAUCUCCGAGUCUGUGGUUCACCUCUAUGGGUGUCUCUGCUGGUUUACAGCCCAACUUGCCUGUUUCUGUCAACAAAUCAACUAUGUAUUUUUGCUAAGAUAUGAAUAUUCCUUCCCGAGAGUGUGCCACUUCAAUACCAAGGAAAUAUUUUAACUUACCUAGCUCUUUGACUUAGAAUUCUUUUACUAGACAUUUUUUUAACUUCUCCAUUCCUUCUAGAUCAUCACCAGUCACAAUAAUAUCAUCAACAUAGACUAAUAAAGCAGUCACUCCCCCUGAAGAUGAAUGUUUUACGAACAGAGUAUAAUCUCCUUGACUCUGUUUAUAUCCCAACUUGAGCAUCACUUUGGUAAAUCUUCCAAACCAAGCCCUCGAGGACUGUUUUAGUCCAUAUAAAGCCUUUUUUAGUCUGCAAACUGCCUGUCCUGUAUUUGGACCGAAUCCUGGAGGAACAUUCAUAUAGACUUCCUCCUCAAGGUCACCGUGUAAAAAGGCAUUUUUGAUGUCAAAUUGCUGUAAUUUCCAGCCUCGGUUGGCAGCUAGUGACAAUAACACUCUUACAGUGUUCAUCUUUGCAACAGAGGCAAAUGUCUCAAGAUAGUCUAUCCCAUACAUUUGAGUGUACCCUUUAGCAACCAACCUUGCGUUGUACCUCUCCAAAGAACCAUCUGACUUAUAUUUCACUAUGUACACCCAGCGACAUCCCACCGGUUUCUUUCCUUCCGGUAAUUUCACUAAGUCCCAUGUCUUAUUUUUUUCAAGAGCUUCCAUUUCAACCUUCAUGGCAUUUCUCCAAUUCUCAUCUUCUAAUGCCUCGAAUACAGUUUUAGGAAUGGAAAUAGAAUUUAGGCUAGUAAGAAAGGCUUUGUGGUUAUGGGAAAAGUUUUUGUAAGACAUGAAUAGGUGCAAGGGAUGUUUUGUACAAGCUCUAGUCCCCUUUCUAAUAGCAAUGGGAAAAUCAUCUAAAUCUGUAGUAUUAGAAUUCAAAGUAGGUUCAGCAGUUACCUCAGGUCGUAUAGGAGAAGAAGAUGAUUGAACUUGCACUGGUGCCUUCUUCCUUGAGUAAACCAGUAACGGACGAGUAGUGUCUUGAAUUCCUCUUGGUGAUUUGGGUGUACUAGGCUCAGUUUCAGGUUGUAUAGGGGUCAUUGUUUCAAGUUGGGCAGGUUGGGUAGCAGGCAAGGUCUGAGUGAGAGUGUUUGAUUGCUGGACAGGAGCCGGAAUGGGAGUGUUUAAAGCUGGAAUGAGAGUGUUUGGUUGUUGGACAGGAGCUGGAAUGUCAAGAAGAAAGAAUUCUUUGUCCUUAUCUUCUGUGAAUAAGAUCUCCCCCUGAAGAUAAGGACGAGUGAAGAAAUUUUCUUGUUCAGCAAAAGUAACAUCAGCUGUUACAAAAAAUUUUUUUGUGGCUGGAUGAUAGCACUUGUAUCCCUUUUGAGUGGAAGAAUAUCCAAGAAAGACACACUUGACAGCCCGUGGAUCAAAUUUCCCUCUAUUUUGAGAAUGAAUAUGGACAAAGGCGACAGCCAAAUACUUUGGGAGUAAGAUUACUGGAGGUAUUGAAAUCAGGAAAAAAUUUGGCUAGAACUUGCAUAGGACUUUGAGAUUCAAGGACCUUUGUAGGCAAUCUAUUUAACAAAUGAGUAGCAGUUAGAACAGCCUCCCCCAGUAUUGUUUAGGGACUUUUUUUGGAACAACAGGGCUCUUGUAAUGGCUAAAAUGUGACCAUUCUUUCUUUCGGCUACACCAUUUUGUUGGGGUGUACUAACACAAGAUGACUCAUGUAUAAUGCCUCUUUCUUGAAAAUAUGUUGAGAGGAAUUGAUUGAAAUAAUCCUUGGCAUUGUCUGACCUAAACCUUUUUAUUUCGGCCCCAAAUUGUGUUUUGAUCAUGUUGUAAAAAAUUGGAAAGACAGACCUAACAUCAGAUUUUUGUUUUAAAAGAAAAAUCCAAGACACACGAGUACAAUCAUCAAUAAAGGAUACAAACCAUCGAGCUCCAGAAAUAUUUGAAAUAGUGGAUGGCCCCCAAACAUCACUAUGAACAAGAGUAAAAAGAGUGGAUGUUCUUUUAUUGCUUACUGGAAAAGAGGUACGUUUAUGUUUUGCAAGUUCACAGAUAUCACAAUGAAAUUUUUCAACAGUUAAUCCUUUGAAUAGUGAAGGAAACAUAAUUUUAAGGACUCUAAACGAUGGGUGACCAAGACGAAGGUGAUAGAGCCAAAUUUGGUCUUUAUUGGUUUUAAUAGACUCGGAUAUGAGAGAUAAAUGUGAGGAAUUCAGAACACUAACUUCUUCACUGGAUUCUUCAAGAUAGUAUAGGCCAUUUAUUUCCUUAGCAUGUCCAAUCAUCCUCCUCGUAUUCUGUUCCUGAAAAAGACACCGAUUGUGAUAGAAAAUCACUUUACAGUUAGAGUCUUUGGUAAUUUUUUUAAUGGAUAAAAGAUUGGUAAAUAAUUUUGGAACAUGAAGGACAUUUUUAAGAGUAAGGUUUUUGUUUAUAACAAUAUCACCUUGACCGGCCACUGUGAUCACAGAACCAUCAGCUACUGUUAUUUUUCUACUACUAGAACAAGGUGUAUAUGAAACAAAUUUUUGUGAGGAGUGGGUCAUGUGGUCUGUAGCUCUUGAGUCAAUGACCCAAGAACUUUUGGUAUUUGUAUUUGAGACUUUAGAACUUUGAGGAGAGGAUAUACCUGAAAAGGCCAAACUACAAGUACCUGUUGAAGAAGUUUUUUCCAAUGAUCCCAGCAAAUUUUUUAACUUCUCAAUUUCUUCUUUAUUGAAUUCAAUAGGUAAUUCCUGAGAAUUGUUUUUUUUAUCUAGCUGUCUAGCUGUAUUUGCUCGUCCUUGUCCCUUUGAUUGUCCACCUUUUUCUGAAAAUUUUUUGUUUGUUGUCUGUGGCUUCCCAUGGAGUUUCCAGCAUCUGUCUUUAGUGUGACGAGCCUUUUUGCAGUAGUUGCAUCAUACGAAAUCCUUGUUAAAAGACUUUGUACGUUCUAUCUGUCUAUUAUCUUCACUAGUUGGCUGCUCCAGGCCAAAUCUCCUCUCAUUUACAGCAUUAGUAACCAAGGCUGAACUAUCCACUUGAUUGUUCUCCACCAUAACUCCUCUUCUUCCUUCCUCAGCACGAACAAUUGCAAUUGUUUCAUUUAGUGAUGGUAGUUCCUCUUUUCCAAGUAUUUGAACUCUUACUGCAUCAAACUCAACAUUCAGUCCAGCAAGAAAAUCAUAAAUUCGAUCCUUUUCAACAAACCUUUUCAGGAGUGCUGCAUCUUCACUGCACUUCAUCUGAAUGCACUGGUAAUGAUCCAUCUCUUGCCACAAACUUUGCAACAGAUUGGAAUACUCUGUGAUUGAUCGACUUCCUUGCUUGGUGGAUGAAAUCUUAGUCUUGAUUUCAUAGAUUUGAGCAGCAUCUCGAACUUUAGAAUAAGUCUGCUUCACAGCUUCCCAUAUUUCUUUGGAUGUGCUAAGAAACAUACAUGUAUCACUGAUUUCUGGCAUCAUAGAGUUCCAUAACCAAGACAUUACCAUAGAGUCUUGUUCAUCCCAAGCAUCAAACUUAGGGUUCCCUUCUUUAGGUCCAGUUUCGAGUAAGUGACUCAGCUUUCCUCUUCCUUUCAAGAAGGUAACCAGUUGGGACCAUUUCAGAUAAUUUUUUCCAUUUAGCCUGUAGGCUACUUGGAUAUUCUGAGACUCACUCAUUGGAUUUGAGUUGUUUACAGAAAUUUCUGAGCCCUCCCCAGUGUUACUGGUCUUGAUAGUUUCAGUCAUGUUGUGUCUGAACAAGUUCUAUAGACUUGAGGACUGGUUGGGAGUCAGAAAAAAAAAGGCUAAAGAAACCGGCUAAAAAAUCCCAGAAAUCGGGCUAAAUAACAGGCUCUGAUACCAUGUGAAAAACAUGAUUUUUCUAUUAUAUUUUUCACAAGAGAUUACAUACAUAUUUAUACACAUAGUUAGCCUAACUAAGGUAACUUUACGCUAGGAAACAGAAUAAUUGUAGGGAUACUGUACAGCCUUAAAGUUAGGGAUAGAAUAUUUUUAGAAUCAUAUUUGAUAUACUCAAAUAUUCUGAAAUCUGACAGAUGCACAUCACUCAUUAUAGAUAGGAUCCAAUAGAUCAUAGUCUUGCUCUUCAACAUGCAUCUAGAUAAGAAAAUUAGCAACUUCAACAUUAAUUACUCCUCCAUUUAAUUCAAGGGCAUGCACCAUUAGAUCUUCCAAUCGACCUUGUACCGCAAGGUUUGUGGGUCUAGUAUCAUGAAAGGGGUUUUCUUCCUUACUAAAUUCAAAUUCAUUAAUAAGACUACCUUAUGGCAUGUCAAACUAGUUGUGGGAACCUUCUAGAAUCUCCAUAUGGGUUCCCACUUGUUCUUAUUGCAAUCAAGUAAAAAUUGCACAUGACAAUUCUUCAAUUGCGCAUUGCAUCACAAUUACUUUUGUUUCUUGAUCCCAAUUUCCUUAUCCUCAAUCUCUACCACUUUUGACCAUGGUUUAAAAGCGAACCUAAUUUAAACCCUAGGAUACAAUUAGGCUCUAAUAUCAAAAUUGAUGUGGUUUUAAGGAAAACUACAGUAAAUCAAUAGAAUAAUGGUUGAACAAAUGAGUAAGAAAGGUGGAACUCUAGAAAACAUAGGGUCAUAAAACCUCUAGUUUCUCUUUAUCAUUUCAAAGAAAAAAAUGAGAAUGUUGAUGUUGUGCCUGUAAAUAUUUUGCAGCUAAUUUAUAAUAAGCUUUCUUGCAAAUAAAGUUCUAAUCCUAACCCUAGAUUUAAACUGAUAAUUAAUAAUUCUAGUCAUCUAACUAUAUGUCUUAUAAAAAAUAAAAUAAAAUAAAAUAAAAUAAAUUUCCUGUUUCAGUGAUGGGGAAAUGGUGUUGAAAAUUUUAUAUUCAGUUUGAAAGAGGGGACUUCUACUCUCUAAAAGCUUCCUGGCUUAAGUAAGUCUCUAGCUGGUGAAAGGUGUCUUGUAAAUGAUGCCCUUGAUUUAAGAUCAAGCUUUUGGUCCAGAAAAGCAACCUCUUGAAUUUCCAAAAUUGCAACUGUCUAUUAUUUAUUACUAUUAUUUGCAUUUACCGCUCCUUCUUACAUUGCACUUAUAAGCUGUUAGAAAUAUUGGUAAAGUCAAUAUUGAUAAAUCCUUAGAAAUAUUGGUAAAUCGUUAGAUAUUUUGGUAAAAGCUUUUUCUAAGCUUUUUUUAGUGAAGCUUAUGGUAGAAGUGCUGGCAUAACUUGGGACGGAGUUUCUUUACCUAUAUCACAGAAUAUUAGAAAGGAGCAAAUAAUGGAUUUCUUUACUUGUUUUUUCAUGCAUCUGAUUUUAUCACAAUGUUUCUCCACUGGGAAUCAGAGCAUUUAUUCUCUGCCUGGAUUGAUUGUUUUGUAAUAAUUAUCCCCUGUGCUAUUUUUUCCUAGAGUUGCUUUUACAAUUGUUAGCAUAUUCAACCUUAAAUAGGUUAACAAUUUGUUUUAUUUUUUUAUUCUCACUUUUACAACCUUUACCUAUUUUGCAGUCCACAAACUCUGGUUCGUGCUUUGAGGUAUGCUGUUAAUAAGCUUUUAAAAUCAUUUCUAUUUUGCUGCCAUGUAUUUUCAAGGUCCUAGGAUAAGUUUGAAAAUUUAAGCAUUUUUUAUAUUGAGGUAUAUAGGUUUCUGCUUGUACUUUUGCUUUGUAAUGCCUGGUAAUGAUACUUGGUUUUUUGUGGUUGGGUUGGUAUGAUAAAGAGUAGUUGUAUUUAACUUUUUGACCUCUUCUCUCUAAUAAGUUUCUUGGACUUCCCUGCUAGAGUUGUCGAAAUGCAAGAAAUUCUUGAUCAACAACUUGCUGAGGAGGCAGCUGAGGCUGAGGGUGAUGAAGCAAUGGCAGCUAUUGCAAACCCUCGAAGAGCUGGCAAGUAUGUAUCUGGUGUGAUUGUUUACUGCCGCAUAUUUUAUUUGCAAACUAUUGUUAAUGCUUUUGAAUGAUCAAUUAAUAAUUAUAUGUUAAAGUUAUCCUUUAUGACAAUGUAGAAAAUCUACCAAGUCUUCAGCUUCUUCUAAAAAUUUAGCACAGCAAAAGUUGAAGGUUCAGGGGAAAGGCUACAAGGAUAAAUGCUAUGAGCAAAUAAGGAAGACAGUUGAAGAGCGGUUCAACCACCUUUUGACAGAGGUACUUUUCGUAAUAAUCAACUUAGUACAUGAGAAUGGUAUACUGAAUCCUUCUUAACCUUUCAUAUGAUUCUAAUGGUAUUUUUUACCCCAGCUUGUCUAUGAGGACCUAAAAGCAGCUCUGGAGGAAGUUAAAACGGUAUGCUCAACUGAUCACUUUAUUGGUUUCUAACUUUGUGCCUGAUUCUUACUGAAGGGACUUCAAAAUGGCUCACAUAUGGUAAUUUAGUACACUGGUUGCUGUUCUGCAUAGAAAUUAUUUAAACACUUCAACUCAGUGAUAAAAACUAAAACAUUGUUAGAAAAAUAAACCUAGAAGAAGCUUGAUGAAGGUUUUACAUGGAAUUCACAAUCAUGCUUCAAUUUAGCUGAAAGAUAAUUGAUAGCAGCAUGAUUUGCAAAGUUCUGACACACAGCAAAGUUUUAUAUUACCCAGCCCUAGUCCACAAUAUAAUACAUAAAUUACUUAAUGUAAAUCAUUCCAUCUAAUGGGAAAGAUUAGAGAUGAUAUAAUGAUUUAAGUAGUUGCAACGAGGAAUUAUUACUUCCUUUAGAAAAAUCAAAUCAUACUAAGCCUAUGAUAUAAGGGGUUUCUACAAUUGUCGGCUUAUCAUAUUUUUGUUAAGAAACUUGCAUGUUUAUUUUUCUUUUUUAAAAUUAGAUUCUAGGUUUACAUAGUAUAAUUGCAAUUCUACAUUGCCAUUUGCAGACUUUAAAAACACAUUUAUCUAAGUCAUCUUUCUAUGCCUUUCGUUUAAGUUCUAGUCUAGAGGUUUCUUGUUCUGGGUUAAUAUGGUAUUAAUAUCUUGAUGAGCAUAUAGCAAAUAUUCUUUGUGAAACGCUCAUGACACUUCAUCUCUUGCUGCACUUUCAACAUUGACUUCUGUAGCCUAUCAUGAUAGUUAUUCAUUUCAUAUCCUCUACACAUGCAUACAUACAUACACGUGUGUGUAUAUCAUGGGAGCUCAAGUUUGAUUGCUAAUAGUUUUUGCUUGUAGCAUUUUUUAGUUUUUUUUUUUUUUAGUUCUGACCUUUUCUUUAGAUAAAAUUGCUUUUGUAUUUGAUACGUGUGAAUUUUUUGUUUUUUGAUAAUUAGCUUGGAGAAGAGCUUGGAGAUAUUUAUGAUUACGUAGCUCCGUGUUUUCCUCCAAGGUUUGUCUUGCUACAGACCUGCUUCUUUUUCUGAGUUCAUUUGGUUUGAUGUCGAGCAAUUAGACUAUGUAUCCCCCUCAUUCUAGAUUCCAUGUUUACAUUUCUGAUGAAAAUUUUUCUUUGAUAUCCAUUUUGAAAUUGCAUUAUGCUCUUGAUGGAACAAUUUGGUCUUUUGCCUUGAGUUUGCUCUAUUGGCAUCCCAUUAUCUUCAUAUGUAAAUAUGACCUGCUUUGUAUGUUUGAAAACUUGACCCUUUGACUGAGGUCUGGUAAAUCCGCAGUUUUUUUUGGAUGGAGCAUAUGGGAUUGUCUAAGUUCUAAUCCUCAAUAAUUGAUUAGUGACCCAGAAAACUUUAGUUCAAGCAAAUGUACAAUGGAGGGUUGAAGCUUUGUCCUCCUAGGCCUGGUUGUUCUAUUAUAAGUUCUGGUUUCAUUAUUGUCUGUUUCCUUUAACAAGUUGGCAACUCAGGGACAAGAUAAAAGGGAAACUGGGUGGAAUUCUCAAUAUAACCACAGUGUAGACAUAGUUUUGAUCAUAUAACUAUCUAUUAUACAAAUUAUUUCAAUGAAACUUUUAUAAUUUUCAAAGAAGCAUACUAAACAGAUUAGCUUUUACAUAUGAAUAGCUUGUAAAUUGUAGUAAUUGAGUGGAUUUACCAUUAAAGGGACAGCUAGAAUAAAUUGAACAUGGUGUAAGCAUCAGUGGGUUUGACCACCAGAGAUAUAUGAACUAGGUAUAAGCAUGUUGAAGUUCGGUGUUAAACAUUCUAUUUGCUGAUUUUUGGAACUUGAUAUUGACCAUGGUAUUUGUUCCAUCUUCUUGUUCUCUAUUUUAGCUAAUGGGAUUCUUGCUGCUUGCAUAAAUUGUUAUUUGCUAUUUCUGAAUUAGAGUUGAUGUUGAGUCAGUUUUAAAAUUACACUAUUUGAUCUGCUCUAACUCCUAGGUGAUAAAGGAAGUUGAAAUUUAAGCUUAUGCUUUGUGCCUCUAUUCACUUAUUCUGUGGUGGUUAUAUAGACUUCUGGUUGAAAUCAUUUGAAGAGCUAAUUAUCAAAGAUGCAGAAGUGCAUUUUGAUGUACGUGUACAUAUUUCUAUCAAUAAGAUUGUGAGUCCGCAUGCAUGUUUAUCUUAUAUUACUUAAUAUUAAUAUGUCCAUGCAUGCAGGUGUGUUUGAAUUAUGCCAAGCUUUCUAGUCAAAUGCAGUACCUCAAAGUCCUAGUUUCAUUUGCUAUGUUAUCACUAGUCAAUUUUUACCACUAGGGACUUCUUAUAAAUGCUACUGUGGCUUUUGACUAAUUUACAUUCCUUUUCUGCUUCACUUUUCAAGCUGAGAAAACUUGUGGUUUACUGUUGGGGUUUUACACACUCAUGUUAUUAUUACUAUUAGUUACUAUUAUUAUCAAUCACAGUCUACUCAUGCAAGCUUAAGUCAGGGGCGGUGCGAAGGGGGGUAGGCCCUGAUCCCCCAAAAAUGGAAAAAUAUCAUUCUAGUCUUUUUUACAUUUCUAAAAUUAUAAGUUAUUUUAAUGGUAAAAUAUAAUUUGCCCCCUUCAAGAUGAUAAAAUUUUAGUUCAAUCCCUUUAAAAUUUCAAAAAUGAUAAGCAUAUACAAUGAUAAAAUUGUAAUUUGACCCUUUUAAAAUUUUAUAAUUUAACUCCACCCCUUCCCCCCAAAAACAAAAAUUCUGGCUUCAUCGCUAGCUUAAGUUGUCUUCUUGUUCUAAGUAUUGUGUAGGCACGCUAAUUCAAUUCAAAUAAAUUAUCUGCUGAAAUUAGAUUGAAUAUGAGAUAAAUAAAUUUAAUUAUUUUGAUUUAUAGUUGAAGUUUGCUUUUUUAUUCUCAAUGGGAUAGCUCUCUCCCAUCUUUGUACUACCAACAGCCAAUGGCAUAAUUCCAGCUGUUUUAAAAGGUUGUCCACAGAGUUUGUUCAUGCUGCUGCUGUAGUUUUGAUAAAUUGUGGCUGUAUGUGACCUGAUUUUGGUGUGUGGGAUUAAUAUGGCAGUGUGCUUUGCACUUCGAAAUCUUCUAUGAAUUGUUCUAUGUCUGAUGCUAUCUUCCUUUCUGGCAGAUAUGAAAUAUUCCAGCUCAUGGUAAAUCUGUAUACAGAGAGAUUUAUUCAAAUGCUUAGAUUGCUUAGUGACAGAGCCAAUGAACUGACAAACAUUGAGAUAUUAAAGGUACUCUCCAGAAUCUUCCAUGGUUUUCAAAUAUGACACCCAAAUUACUUUGCAUUUUUGCAACUUUGCUCAUUGAGGAUCUUGACCUGUGCAGUAUGCACAUUAUUAUCAGUUUAUAAUUGCUGACGAUUCUAACCCUGUAUUUGGUGGAAUGAAUAUCCAUAAUAAAGAUCAACUGAAUCUGAAAGCGUGUACAACUUGACAUUUAAGUGUGUCUCUCCUAUGAGAAGAAUUAGCUACUGGGCUAAGUUUUGCGAAAGCGAAUAUUUUUUACAACAAGUAUCUCCUGAUUUAUCCGUCACUGUAGUUGACCAUAAGACAGAAAACUAACAUCAGUGCAACAUGGAAAGAAGCAUAUCUUCAAGUAUUGUAUUUCAUAAUAGAGAUGAAUUAACUUUGACCUAAGAAGUCAGUUAAUCACUUUCAUUUUGAUGUCUUCGAGUUUCAUUUAUUUUUUAACAUUUUAAUUUAAUUUUCUUAUGGCACAACCUUUUUCUUAACUUUGUAUCAGUGUUGUAUUUCUAUCUUGUUUUAACUCAUGUAACUUUAGUAGUUUAUGGGUAUUAUUGCUUGCAUGUAGGUAACUGGGUGGGUAGUUGAAUACCAAGAAAGUUUAAUCGGGCUUGGUGUUGAUGAGACUCUUGCUCAAGUGUGUUCUGAGAGUGGUGCCAUGGAUCCUCUCAUGAAUUCAUAUGUCGAGAGAAUGCGAGCCACAACAAGGGUAACAAUAUACAACCCUAUUAAUCUUGGUUACUGUAUGGGAAAUUUAAAGUGUAGCUUAGAUCUUUUCUAUUUGUCAUUUUGUUAUUCUUUUUCUAGAAAUGGUAUUUAAACAUCUUGGAGGCUGACAAGGUCCAACCACCAAAGAAGACGGAAGAGGGAAAGCUAUAUACUCCUGCUGCAGUUGAUUUAUUCAGGAUACUCGGGGAGCAAGUACAAAUUGUUAGGGAUAAUAGCACUGAUGCCAUGCUUUACAGGAUUGCUUUGGCAAUAAUUCAGGCAAGUUAGUGGAAUCUGACAAAGAUACUAUGCUUCUUGACUUGGGCGAUUCUGUUGGAAUUGCCGGGGAUAUAACAAAAUGUUUUUUUAACAUUUGUCAGAAUUAGUUCCUAAUGUAAAUAUUAUAUAAUCAACAUCGUUGUGUUUUUUUUUUCCUUUUUAUGGCUGUAUUUCUAUGCUAGUACAGCUUGGGCUUUCCUUCAAUGUUUUUAAAAUGUCUCUAAUCUUAAUUGUAAAGGAGUGCCCAAAUUUAUUCUCCCGUCAACCUCUUCCUCAGGUACUGAGUUUAGAUGGGAGCAUAUUACAUUUUUCCCAAUUUCCAGCUUUUACAAGGUUUACUUGAGAGAAUUGACUUCGAUUGAGCUUAUUUUCUUUUGAUGUUCUCAACACUCAAUCUAUUUCAUCAUUGUUUUUCCUUGCCACAUUUUAUAGGUUUUCAAAUAUACCUACGAGGUCUUAUUCUUUUAUUGAAUUGGGCAUGUAUUAUAUGAUUCUUUUUCAGGUAAUGAUUGAUUUUCAAGCAGCUGAAAAGCAGAGACUUGAAGAACCUGCUUCUGAUAUUGGUCUGGAACCUCUAUGUGCAAUGGUUUGUAGAUAUUCUGGGGGCUUAGUUUGUCUCUAUUUCUCUUUUUUCUCUGGAUAAUUAAGUUUGUGGCCAUGUCAUUUUGGUCUUACUGUUUGCUGAACUUGUCUACCCUUGGGGUUGUAUUCCACCAUACCCUUCCCAGAUUAACAACAAUUUGCGCUGCUAUGACCUUGCACUGGAGUUAAGUAACAGCAUCAUAGAGGCUCUUCCACAAAACUAUGCUGACCAGGUUUUGUUUUCUUUCCUGCUAUUAUUUUGACAGCAAUUGCAAAUGAUGGGAUAGAGUUAGUCAAAUUUUCUCAAUUUGCACUAACUGUUGCUUUAGAAAGUUCCUUGUACAUAUAUUAUCUACAUUAAAUAUUUCAAUUUCCAUGAUUGUGUUGUGCUCAUGUUCUUCUAUUGUCUUGUUCUCUUGAAAGAAGUUUGUGCUCAUGUUUAGCCUUCUUUCCAUUGUCCAAAUCCAAUAUCCUUGCCUAUUUCAUGUGUAGCCACACAUGAGUGGACAUGAUCUAUAAAAAUGUUACUAUCCUUCAUUGUGCUGUUUUGAAAUCCAAUAUCCUAGCCUUCUGUACAGGUAAAUUUUGAAGACACAUGCAAAGGUUUCUUGGAGGUUGCAAAGGUAUGCUCAAAAUUGUACCAUUUUAUCCCCUCGCUACCCUUUUAUCAUUCCCUUUCUUUUGGAUUUAAGGUGAAAUUUAGUUUUGAUCUGUUUGAACUUGUUGAGGUAUUUUGGGCUUGAUCCUGUUUUGUACUUACUAUUUAUUCCGUAAAGUUCGAAAAUUGCCUUUAUAUUACAACCACUUUCCUGGAACAUAUAAUUGCUAAAGUUUUUUUUAAUAAUGUUCGUCUUGUUGGUCACCGUAAGCUCUUUGCUAGUUAAUUCGUUUGUUCCAUGUGUCUGUUCAUAUGUUAGAGAGCUGAAUCAAAAUCAGUUGGGACACAUACGGACUGAUAAUGGUUUGUGGCUUUGGUUGAACAUUUCCUGUUUUAUUUAUUUAUUUUGGUUUGGGGUAUGGGGGAUUUUAAUCUUGUAACUAGACUUGUCUGAGGGCUGGGGCUGCUCGCCAGCUAGGUAGGCCUGGCCCCUGCUUGGAGAAGAUACAUUUAAAUUCUGUUCGGUCCGAAUUACUAUUUAUUAAUUAAAAAAACAUUUUUUAUUUAAGUUCAAUUCUAAAAAUACAUAAAUAUUGAUAUUUUUAAUAUUUUUAACUUUUAAUAUUCAAUGAAUAGUAAAUUCGGACUUUCGGGUUACCUGCGCCAGAAAUGGGCCUGAGCAAAGAAAAUAAGAGAUUCUGGCUGCGGCUUAGUCCAGCCCAUGGGCAGGUCAACAAAUAGCUAAUCCAGGAUGGAAUUUCCGUAAUUCAAAUAUUUUUUCCCUUGUUGAUUGCAUCUAGGCUGAAUAUUUUCUGUAUAUUACAUACUGUAUAAUCUCAAAUGGCUUUAGUGUAAUAGUAGUUCUACUAUCCCAAAAGAAUGAAAGUACAGUUUCUGCAUCGUUAAUAGGAAGCAGUACGCCAAACUGUUAAUGUAAUCUUUGAGGAUCCUGGAGUGCAAGAGUUGCUUGUAAAACUUUAUCAUACAGGUACAGUAAUUUUUAUUCUUGUAAUUCACUUUUUCUUCUCUUGAUCUUACAUGUCAAAUACAAUGUUGAUCCUUUUCUCUCUUAAAAUGGUUCAAAUAUCUGCUAUUGCUUCACUUGCUUGGUGCAAUUUAAGAAUGGAUAAUCAUGCUUCUACAAAUGUGCACACUAGAGGAACAGUUACUAUUUUUUUAGUUAUGUUAACUAGGCUAGGGUGAGUGUCAGAUAUAUAUCUUCUAAAUUAUGCAAGUUUUUUCUUACAUUUAGACCAUUGGUCCUCCAUGCCCAUAUCUUUUGAAUAUGUAUCACAUAAGAGUAAUUGAAGGAGAAUGAAGAGUUAAAAGUAAGGAGAAUGAAGAGUUAAAAGUAUACUUUUAGUCUCCUCCCUGGAAUAUGUUAUUACCAUAUGCAUUAUUCUAAUAUUUGGUUCUUUGACAUUUUUAUCUUGCAAUUUCUGACAUAAUAUAUAUAGCAUUUUCUGUCUCCCCUUUCACACAAACAUGUUUUUAUUUUUUUUAUUUUUGGCCAACCAUGGUCUUGUAUUGGAAUUUGCCCCUAAGUUGGAUGAUAUUCUUCCUAUUUCAAAAUCUGAAGUGUUAGUACGAGCCAAUUGGAGAAAUAUUUUGUAGAAUUUAAACUUGAAGUUUGUAGCAAGUUUCCUUUGGUUGCAUUGUUGAUCAAUAACCACUCCCACAAAACUUAAUGUGGCACUUUGAUUUCAUUUUUUUUUAUUUUUUUAUUUCCAUGCUUUAGGAUAUUGUCUUCUAUCAGUCCUGCAUGGAUAGUUUCUUCCAUCUAAACUUUCUGUGAUUCUUAUGAAUUGAGGAUAAUCUAUCUUAUGUAGUGCCACUCAAUCCAUUUUGCAUCUGAUUUGGACAAUUCUAGGUCUAUUACAUGAAGAACAGAAUUGAUCAAUUUAUGUGGAAAGUGGACUUGUAUUUUCUUAAAUUGGAUUGACCUCUAUUUACUAAUAACUUGUACUAUUACAUAAAGCCGACAGUUUAGGUGGUUUCUCAUGGAAUUUGUUCUCUUCUGUUUCCUCAUUCUUUGAGAAGUCUUUGGUACUGUUAGGUUAUAUUGUUUGUAAACCAUCUAAUCUAGACACCAAACAUGAGAGUCUAGGUUGUACACUCUCUUACAAUGUAGUAUGCACAGAUUAUGCCCCCAAAAAGGUUUCAUUCAAAUCUUAUAGAAUUUCAAUUUUGAGCUGAACUUUUUUGGAAUGCAUGCCAAGAGGCAUAUGAUAUUAUGGUCUGUUUAGAUGCCUGAAUUUGGAGGGUUGUAAAAUUGGAUUUGGUCUUAAAAUUAAAUUCAUUUUAGAGAAUGUUUUGGAAAGCUGGAUUUAUGUCUGAGUCAAAUUCACUUGGAGCUUAAGAUGUCCAAAUCUAAGAUUUGAAAUUAUCUUUUGAGCUAUGUAUUUGCCACAUCUAUCCAAGCAAAAAUUUCUUCCUUCUCAAAUCUAGGAUUUGUGAAGGUUCCGAAUGCUAGAUCCUAGAUUCUUCCAGACAAUACUUUCAAGUCCAUGAAUUUUAAACAAAAAGAUUUAUGAUUUUGUUAAAAAAAUUUAAAACAAUAAUCUAUAUCCCAAUUUAUCCUUGACAAAACAGUGUUGCACCGGUUUCCUAACAUUUAAGGGGAUCUAUUUUCAGUUUUACAUGUGACAUUCAGGUUGUUGAAAGAGAAUCUUUAUGUUGGUAAAAAUAGAAGCUUAUUCAUGCAAUAACCUUCUUUUUUUUCAAUGUACCGGGUUUGAGCACCUAUUUGAGUGAGGAGGAGGGAAAGAGAAGCUGUGUUCAGACUGCUUAUUUUUUGUUCCAAACAUACUGGGGAAAGAAAGUUGCUUAAUCAAAGCAUUGAUUUGGGUCUUUUAACUUGUGGUUUUUCAGAGUGGUGUGAAGGGCAGGUUACCGAGUACCUCGUUGCAACAUUUGGUGAUUAUUUUACAGAUGUUAAGAUGUAAGUUAUCUUUACCUAAUCUUGGGUAUCAGCAACAUUUUAAUUCUUUCCUUCAUAAGCCACACAAGCAAUAAAUGUUCCAUAUUGGAUCUGUAAAGGACAUGCAUCUGGAAAUUUAAUCCUCCAAUUUUCUUUUAUCAUCUAGCGCUUCAUAUUCAGCAGUAGGUGCUGAUGAUUCAAUAUGUAAUAACCUCCAUGAUUUUUUAAUUUUACUGUGUAUUGUUUUACUGAUUUAAUGCUUUGCUACUAAGGUAUAUUGAAGAGCGAUCUUUCAGAAGAUUUGUUGAAGCAUGCUUAGAGGAAACAGCAAUUGUCUAUGUUGAUCAUCUUUUAACACAGGUUUGAUUAUUAUAUUUUAUUUGAAUACAAGGAAACAUUUCUGUGUUGUUUUCACUUUCUAGUGGUUAAAUGCAUGCUUUUAUCCUCUGUAACAUCUAUUCCUUUUCAUCAUGACCAUAGAAAAACUACAUCAAGGAGGAAACUAUUGAACGGAUGAGACUAGAUGAGGAGGUUCUUAUGGAUUUCUUCAGGGAGUAUAUUAGUGUCUCAGUAAGUGAUGCUUCUUAAUUCAGGCAUUCUCUCAAAGCAAUCAACCUAUAUAGCGUCUUCAGUUCUUCUACAUUCCUUCAACCUUUUGGGUCAGUUAUUGGAUAAAUUUCUAUGAAAUGGUUUCUGCUAGGUCUUUCUUCAUCCUGCUUUUCUCGCUUACUGCAGAAAGUUGAAAGCAGAGUCCGGAUAUUGAGUGAUCUAAGAGACCUUGCUUCAGCUGAGAGUCUUGACACAUUCACACUAAUUUAUUCAAAUGUUCUUGAGCAUCAACCUGACUGCCCGGUAAACAUUAAGUAUACAAUAAGAUGCUUGCUAUUCUAGUAUUUGUCCUAAAAGGUUGUAUUCAUGUUGCAUUUCUAAGUAAAAAUCUCAAAAUUUUGUAAUUUCAGCCUGAUGUUGUUGAGAAGCUUGUUUCACUGCGGGAAGGCAUCCCACGCAAAGAUGCAAAGGAGGUAAUUGCCACCCUUUAAUCCGGUUUAUCUAUUUGUUUAGAUUAAUAUAUUGCAAUUACAUGAAGUUGCAUAAAAAUAAAAUCGCCUUGUUUGAUCUAUUAAAGACUAACUCAAGUUAAAAAGAAGCAUCGACUGCUGGUCUUGUCUAGUAACGUCUUAUUCUUCUGCAAAUGCUAUUUACUUGAAUAUCCUUGCUAGUAAAUUUGUAAGAAAUAGUAAGGCUUUGGAAUGAUUGGUGAAAAUGUGGAUGGGUAACAACAGGUGGUGCAAGAAUGCAAAGAAAUCUACGAGAACUCACUUGUUGGUGGGAAGCCUCCAAGGACAGGAUUUGUGUUUCCAAGGGUCAAAUGUUUGACGGCAACUAAAGGUUAUAUAUGGCGUAAACUCACUUAAACAUUCCCACUUACCCUUCUUUUUAGAUUAGGGGUUCCUUGCCGCCUUUUCUAAUUUCUUGCUUCUUGUUUAUGCAUAUUGUAUGCUGCUAUUAUUUGUAGUAAUAAAUUUGCUUUUUUUUUUGUUAGUCAACGGGGAUGAAAAAUUUCAUUAUUUUGUUAUGUAAUUUUUGGUGUUUCCCCAAGUUAAACUGUCACAAAGCUAUGUAUUUAUUAUUGUUAUUAUUAUUUUCGAGCUGUGGUUUGUCCAGGAAAUUCAUCAACACUGACUGUUACAUAAUGCGAUAAAAAAUUGUCAAAAGAAAAGAAAAAAUAUAAUGCAAGAAAGAGAAUAUUAAAUGAGGAUGAUUUUUUUCCUUUGUUUUGGUGCUUAGGCUAAAAUAUUAAAUGAGUCUGGAUUAUUUCACUUUUUAAAUAUUUUUGUUGUAUUUAAAUAAAUAUUUACCUUUUAAUUAGUACCUAAUGAAGAGGUUAUUCGAAUGUAAUACAAGUAAAAAUGUUUAUUAGGUCUUUAUAAAUUGUCGAUGAAGUUUUCUUAAUAAUGUUUUUGGGUUAAAGAAUCUCAUUAUAUGAAUUCUCCAAUAAAGGGUAGAAAUUAUUGUAUUUUUAUUGUUUCAGCCUCCUUCCUUGCGUAGAAGAGGUUGAAAUCUUAUAAAAUAUUGAAAAUUUGAAAUCAAUUAACGAUAAUAAUAAUUUAAGCUAAUUAAAUGAAAUUACGGAUUCUUCAAUGCGUCAUUAAAUGAUAAAAGGUUCAUUCGUCGUCAGCUAAAGAGGUAUUUAUUGGCAGCAAAAUAGACUCAACAAGGGGAAUGAUAUGAAAAAUAAGACUGGUUAUAUCUUAGUAUUAAAGUUUGUCUCGAUUUGGUAUUAUUCUUGUGGCUUGUACCGAAAUAGUGUUUUAUCCCUAGAUGUCCAGUCAAUUAUUGUGUCUCAACGCAUUUCGAGGAGAACUAGCUAGCUCUAGGUUUGAGUGGUAUUUUACACCUAAUCACAACUUAUGCAUUGAUUCUUCAACGUCAGUCUGUUCAGACCUCUACUUAGUUUCACCCAAAUCUCAUCCUGGUCAUGGAUAGAUCACCCAGGUUCGGGUCUAUAAGCAGUGACAAUUGCUCUAUGAAGACUCGCUUUCGCUACGGCUCCGGUGGGUUCCUUUAACCAAGCCACUGCCUAUGAGUCGGCAACUCAUUCUUCAAUAACAAAAUAUGAUACUAAAAACUAACUUAAAUUUAAUAUUAAUAUACAGAUAUACGAAAGUGCAUUAUCGAGCCCAUUGAUAGUGGCAAGCCUGCUUCUUUAUAGCAGAUAUAACCAAGAAAUGGUUGACUGAACAGUCAAGUUCGCCACACUUUAGUUGUUAGAAAGAGUAAGUAAAAUUUAAUUCGAUUUAAAAAAAUUAAAAAAAAAUUAAAUUUCAGUUUAUUCAAAUGAAGUUAAUUUAACUAACUCGAAUUUAAAAAAAAAAAUUUAAGUUCAAGAUAAUUUGAAUAAAACAAAUAUUAAAUUAUAUUAUAUUAAAUUAUUUUUUUAAAUUUUAAAUUUGAAUUAUUAUUUAGUCUAAUUAUUUUACAUUCCCAAAAUCAAAAUCAAAAUCCUAUUCCUAUUCCUAUUCGUAUUCCAAAAUCCCUAAAAUCUAAAUCCCUGCAAUUUAAAUCAAACCCCCCAAAUUAAAAUCUCUAAAAUCUAAAUCAAACUCUCCAAUGUUCUUCAUUUCUUCAUCGGUUCACCAGGCUUUCUGAGGUUAGGCAAAUCCCUCACCCGUCUUCAGUCUACGGUCUCCCAUCCCUCCCCUGUUGAAAUUGGUGGUGGAAAUUGCUGCUGGUAUGAGCCUUGAGGUUAUAAUUGUUGCUGCUGCUGCUGCAUAAACUGCAAACAGGAAAGAAGAUUUUAGAUAGUUUGGUUUCCAUUUUAAAGGAGGCAUAUGAGAGAGAAAAAAAGAAAAAGCAAAAGUAAAAUCUAACUUGAAAACUAUCUUCGACGUCGGAGUUUCGAGGUCCGCCAUUUUUCUUUAGCAAUUUUCAUUUCAAUGAUGCUACAUUGUCACGUGCUCAUUUACACUAUUGACAUGUUGUUUUGUUUCUUUAUGUUUUAAGAAUAAUAUGGUGAGUUUUGGAAGUCAAAGCAUAUGGUUUUGGUGGUUCCGAUCUUAAUGGUUGUAAAUACUUAGGUGGUUCUGAUUAUUUGGGUUGUAACGACACCAAGACUUCGUUACAUAGGCAGAUAUGGUGUGUUGCAGGGAUAUUUGCUUGAAAAAUAAACAAGUCUCUUUUCUUAAUUGUCAUCUCUGUUUCUUUUCUUGUCUGCUACUUCUUUAUUUUCUUUCUUGUGUUGUUGUUUCUCUGCUGUUAGUGUGUUGUAAUUCUCAAGCAAAACGCAACAAGGUAUCAGAGUUGACGAUCUGCGAUGUCUGGCAACGAUGUUUCUACUCGGCUUCAAAAGGAUGUGGGUGGUCUGCAGCAGGCGGUGGCAAAGCUGUAGAAGGACGUUUCACAGUGGAGUGCAAAAUUGAAGGAUGGGUUGAAGGAAUUAAGGAUAGAGUUCAAAGGGGAACUUAAGCUGGAGUUGUGGGGCUUGAAAGAUAGGUUACGGGGGCAGAUCAAGUCUGAAAUGCAGAGUUUGUUGGAAUUGUAUUUGGGUCGACCAUUUGCUUCCGUUGUUGGUGGAUAGUCAUCUGUUCCCGUUCCUGCUGGAUAGUUGAGUGAUAAAGGGAAGGGGAUUUUAGGCAUGCUACCAACCGGGUUCUCGCCUAGGGAACCGUCUUUUAAUUCGCCUUCAAAGGACACUCCUUCCUUUUUGCCCAAUGUUGAUGUCAGUUUGACGUCUCAUGUCAAUGAACAUUUCCCUAAGUCACACAAGUUGGAAUGUCCACGUUUUGACGGGUCUGAUUUUAAGGGUUGGUGGGCUAAACUCGAACAAUAUUUUCAGGCUGAGGGGAUCCCUUCCAAUGUUAGGGUUCGAACGGUAAUGUUACACUUAAAGAGCAAGGCUCUCGACUGGCACCAGUUUUAUACAUAGAGGCAAGAAGGCUUCCACAUGUUGGUUUUAGGGAUAUAUGACCAGAGCCUGUGGGAGCACUUUGCAUCGAGUUAUUUUUAAGACCCCAUGUCUGACUUGUGUCAUUGAAGCAACAUGGGUCGGUGGACUAAUAUCAUGAAACUUUUGUUAGCUUGUUGAAUCAAUUGCAGCUACCCAAACCAUAUGACUUGAGCAUAUUUACCAACAACUUGAAAACUAAAAUCGGGCAAUACCUAUAGUUGUUUAAGCUGAAAACUUUGGUGGAAGGAUUUCAAGUAGCACAUCAAGUGGAGGGUAUAUUACAAAAAUCUCCUAGGAGGUUGUUCUUGACGGGGGUCCUACAACUUCAAAAUCCUCGACUUAUACAACUGUCGUUUCUCAGACUUUAAAGCCAUAAACUACCUCCACGGGGAACUCAUAGUAGUAGUAACUCUACUGGCCCGAGUGUAACUCACAAAUCAGUCAUGGCAAUAGGUUCAUCCAUGAAGUUUAAAAGAACAUUAACAAUCAUAGAGAUUGAUCAUAGGAGGAUAAAGGGAUUGUGCUUUUGGUGUGGUUCCAAAUAUAGUGUGGGCUAUAAAUGUGUUAGGUCUUAGCUAUAUUAGUUUUUAUUGGAAUCAAAAUUGGAUAGGGAAAGGGAGGAGUCCCACGAGGAUUUUGAUCAAUCGGAGGGUUCUCCAACCAAAAUGAUGGUUCAAGAUCCUAUACUUUCACUCCAUGCUAUCCAAUGGUCCCAAGGUAACCAUACGAUGAAGGUGGCAGCAUCUGUGGGAACUGCUCAUGUUUUAUUUUAGUUGACUUAGGAAGUACGCACAAUUUCAUAAGUGCAAGGUUGGUGAGAUAGCUUGCCAUAUCCUUCAGUAAAGAACAUAAAUUGAAGGUCAUGGUGGCUAAUAGGGGUAAUGUGUUCACCCAAAGGCUGAGUUUUUCAAUAGAAUUUUUUGUUCUACCAGUUAAGGGGUGUAAUAUGGUUUUGGGAGUGCAGUGGCUCCUAUCAUUGGGAAGCAUUCCUUAGGACUUCAAGGCUUUGACCAUGCAGUUAAACUAUAAAGAAAACAUAUGCUUGUUACGGGGCAUUCAAUCAGGGGCUAUACAAGUCUUGUGUGAUCGUGAGGUUGCUAGAAGUUUUUCCAUCAUGGGGAAUUCUUGGGGCCCUAUACACUCUAAGUGGCUACUGCUGAUCAUGCAUCACUACAAUUGUCACCUAAACUAAUCUCUAAGGAUUUGCUUAAUCUCUUAGAGGCGUUCCAUAAGGUGUUUCAAACACCAACUGGGUUACCCCCAUCAUGCUUACAAGAUCAUUGCAUUCCACUCAAGGAUGAAUCGGCGUUAGUUAAGAUGAAACCUUAUUGCUACCCUUAACAGUUCGCCCGAUUAAUCCUCCGGGGCUCAAAUAACUCAAUUUUCUCCCAUGCACUAUUUGUGUCAAUGGAUUUGUUCGAUCCAAAACUUGAGGGAAUUUGUGUAAUUCGAAAAAGGAUUCAUAAGUGGUUGUUAAUGGAUUCGAAGUUAC
RNAcentral lists this long non-coding RNA (48041 nucleotides) under Gossypium barbadense (sea-island cotton). Its description in RNAcentral is "long non-coding RNA (GBAR_LNC008810)". The record is from RNAcentral. Lineage: Eukaryota; Viridiplantae; Streptophyta; Magnoliopsida; Malvales; Malvaceae.